AAAAAUAAGUGUUUCGCAUUAGUGUUUGCACUCUAAGCAUGGCAAAGUGGUGCGGGGUUCAUGAUUUUGAAGACUGUGAUAAGUGAAAAAUAGUUCAAUCCACUGAUGAACAUAAAUUUAUUUACAUGUCAAUUUAGAUAUCAUCAAAAAGUAAACAGUAAUUCAGAGUCACUUAAAAUAGUUGAUAAAAUGCGUGCCAUGAAUGUAUUUUUGUACAUAAGAAAUCCAAAGAGUAUUUCUGACAAUACAAAUAUGCUAGCUUUAAGUCUGCUGUCAAUAUGCAAUUAAGAAGAUUAUACCAGCUGCAUGAUAAAGUUCCCCUAAUCUUAAUAACAGUAAACAUGAACAUGUCAGAUGCAAUUAUAGCUUUGAGCAUUUGCAUAACCAGAAAUCCUAACCUGAACAAGCACCAGAAGUGUCUCUCGGACUUUCUCCUUGCUGAUAAAUGGUCCGCUGUCUGAAGUAAGAGCAGGAGUAAGAGAUGGUGGAGGGGUUGGUGGUGGAAAAGGUUGAAGCACUGGGGCACCAUAUGGGCGUUGCAGACUCGGGGGAGGAUUAAGUGGCGGAGCUGUUGGUGUAGAUGAAGAGACAAGCUGCAUCAUCCGUGCAUAGGAGGAUGGAGGAGGAACAAAGAAUAAGGAAGGCUUUACAAGAUUAGGGGUAGGUGCUGAUAGAGGUGGAGAUGGUAUUUGCAAAGUUGGCACGAUAGGAGAAGCAACACUGGCGGGAUGAGAAGGUAAAGAAAUAGUUGUAUUGGACUGGUAAGGUUGUGCAGAGAUUGCUGCAUUAGAAUUAUUCCCCACAGUCAAAGCUGUCUGCAAUGAUAAGGACAGAUGUCAUAUAAAAGGACAUCAUAGAAGUUGAACCUCACACAAAAAUGAAGUGAUAACAUAUGAAAAUAGUAUAUGACUUGCUGCAUUUUUGUGGUAAUGUUGCAUACUUAUGUAGAAACAUAUUAUUUCAAAGAAAACAUACACUGAAGAAGUUCACAAAAGCAGGAUCUUCAGGAACAUCAACAGCAUUUGAGGGAGUUGACUCUAGAGGACCAUCCAUAACUGCCAUAGUUGGAACAGCUUCCAGUUCCUCAAACUCACUGCAGUUUAACAUAAAAGGAACUUGAUGACCAAUUUAAGUAAUAAUUAGAUGAUAUAAGAGGUUAGGGAAAAUGAUGAGUGGACCCUUAUGGAAGAUGAUUUCACCUUAGCUAAACACGAAAAUAAAAUGAAAUCAAAGCUGAAUCCUCGAGUGCAAUGCAAAUAAUUUUUUCUCUCUCUUCUCUAACUCCUCUUAUUCGAAAUUGCUCAUCAUUGUGCAGUUCCUCGAGAUUUUGCUAGAGUAGAGAAAGCUAUUCUCCCGUUAAGUGCAGAGGAAAAAGAAGGGCAAGGGCCUGGUAUGAUGCUAUUCUAUAGGAAGUGAGAAGGUGAAGGGCUAAAAUAUUUUGCAAUUUGGAGGUGGUGUUUGUUAGUGUGUGUACUUCUGAAUUUAUUACCUCUUUAGGAUCCAUAGAAAUUGCCUCUUGUUCAGCAUGCACUGUGCCUACGAGUAAGGCGAGCUUGCAUGGUAUCUAUUGUCUAUUUACUUGGAUAUUCAAACAGGACUACCAGCAACCAAACACAAAUCCCCAAACAAAACACUCUUUCAAGUGCAAGGAAAGAGUAACUUGGGCAUAUUUAUGGUUCAAGCACUACAAUAACUAAGAAUGUGAUGACUGUCCACAAACACUAUAUCAGUGCCUUUUGAACUACAUCACAUGCUUGAAGACUUUUUUUUUAGUCAUACAUAAAUUAGCUAUAAAAUCAAGACCCUUAUACAACUAAAAAGAAAGAAAAAUUGUUUGCUACUACAUAUCAAAACUGGUAAUAGCAAUGUAAGAUGGCAGACUUCUUACUUAAACAGAUGAGAGGCUACAAAUAAAAAAUUUGUGCAAAUAAAAUAUAUGAUAAAGAGCAUAAUACUUUCUUGGGGGCUAAAAAUAAUAUACAACUUGUGAAAUAUAAAUUGAGCUACCAUUACCUUUUAGAUGUGGCAACUUUCGACUUUUGAGGCACCUUGGAAUAUGCAUUCAGAAUCCUGCAUUUGGAAGCCAAAUAAAUAAUGUUAAUAACAAUUUUACAAUAGAAAAAUUAAAAAUUGAUAAAUGGCAGUUGUAAUUUAUGUAUGGUAAAGAUAGCAUCACAUCCAGGUUCCUCCCAUAAACAUGCUUGUAACAAGAAUUAGUUUGCCUCAACUGCUAGCAACUAUACAAUAGUAAAAAUCACUCUUAUGAACUCAACAAUACUAGGCACCAAUAAGAGUAUGACACAGCCAUUCUAAAUGGAAGAGAAUACAACUGUUUUACAACUAUGUUGCAUCAGGAGAUAUGUUAGGAGGAUUAAUCCAGAUACCUUCCAACCCAAAUUAGGAAAACUCGAGUCAGAAACCAGGAGCUGCAACCAAACCUUACAAUCUUGAAGGAAGAAGGAGACUUGGGGCAUUUUUCCAGAUAGGUGACUUACAAGAUCUCCUGCCAAGAAAAUAUCUAUUGCUUUGAACCUCCAUUGAAAUUUCUUUUCCCUUUUUCUUGUUUUGACUUGGAACUUUCCAGCAUCAUCUAUUUGAUCUUUUUUAAAGCUAAAAUAGCAAUCUAUGCGUUGUCAACAUCUUAUCCCCCGCCCCCCCGGGGGGGCCACCAAAAAAAAAAAAAAAACCAAUGAGUUGUCAAUAAAUAGCGCCUACUCAACUUAUGUUCUCCAAUGAUGACAAUGUGCAAAUUGACCUAGCAGCCACAUUUUUCCCCCCUUUCAACCACCAUUAGGCAACUUUUCUAACCUUUCUUCAUUGCCCACGUCUACAGAACUAUCAUAUAAAGACUACAUUAUUAUUGGGACAGAGAAAAAAAUACAGACUAUAUUAUUAUUAUAUCUCAUUUUAUUAAUUAACUAGUGCAAGACUUAUUUAGUGUCAAAUCAAGAACUAAUUAGAAAAGACAACUCAUGAUAAUACAGACUUUAAAAAGCAAUAGCUAGCAACACCCCAUAUACUCCUAUUUUAGCCUUCAAUAUCCUGGUAAAAACACAAUUAAGUCUAGCAAAAGAACAUUCACAAGUAAAUUCAACAUUAAUUAAGAUUAAGUAUCUACUGCACCUUCAAUCAAUGACUCGGUGAAUAGCAUGGUCAACCAUCUAGUUCCUGUAGCCCUCCUUGUACCUAUGUUAGUUACAUUUUACAUAUUAAGCCACGAAAAUGAAGGAUCACAGCCUGGUAAAGAAAGCCAUUAAUUAAUAGUUUUUGUUUAAAAAGUUCUCGUUUAGAUCUUUCCUAUUCAAUGAAUCAAUGUAAUCCAAGGAGAACUCUUCCAUUUCAAGCAGUGUUAGAAGAUAAUUGGAAAGCCUAAAGAUAAUAUACAAGGACCAAGAUAUCGAUUAGGUCAAAUAGUGAAUGUCAAAUAUAAAAAAUAAAUAAAAGAAGUUGUACAUGAUCAUUUACUAUCAAGUUCUGUAAAACUGAAAAUACCAUUAUCCCUGUAGAGAUUCUCAAACAACUCUUUAGCAAAUUAUAAAAUAGUUAAAAAAAGAUCGAAAGUUUAAAAAAAAAAAAAUGUACAACAGCCAUAUCAGGAGAAGUUUUUCUUCUCAAUCUCAAUAUUUUCUAGCCGUAAAACAAUUGAAAAGCUUAACACCAAGUGAAUUAUUAAGAAUUCAUCAUUUAAAUUCCCAAAUCGUAAAAUGUUGGUGCAACUACGAAAGUGCAAAUGCAAUCACUUUACUUACACAAGAAACAUCAAUAGUGAGAAGCCAACUUUGUAUCAAAUUUGAAGCAGAUAGAUAGAGGUCAAAAAAAUUAUAAAGACACUCAAUUAAAAGCCUUUCAAACAGCUUUUGCAUGCAACAAGAACAAAUCAAAGGCGAUGUGAAUGUAUUCAAAGACUAAUUUACAAUCAUCUACAGGACAUAAAUAUCUUGGAUAACUACUCUCUAUACCUUACUGUCCCACUGAAAAUCAUCAAAUCCCUCCAAACAAAAAUGACAAAAUGGAUAAGAAUUGUGUGGUCAAACAUCAAUAACUUAGCAGCCACAGCAAAAACUUAUGUAGACACGCAAGCCACUCAAAAUAGUCAUAUUGUUUGCUUUCCAAACACAAGCCACUUUGUAAUGAAUAUUCAUAAAUUGCUACUACCAUGUUUGUUAAAACACGUGAAAACCGCCAUCACUAACUAAAUGUAACUGAUGAUCAUCAUCACGUUCAUGGAAUCACAUGUCUGACAGUAUUAAUUAGUGCAAAUGGCAUGCUUCUUAAAACUCCUUAUUUAUCACACGGGCGCCAUUCCAAUCAACCAAUGAUUCUGAUCUAGUCGGCAUAUUCAACCCACGAGCGAGUAAUAGCUCCUAUUGCUUCUUUACAUUUCUCAACGAAAUUCCACAUUCUAACCAUACUUCUGAACUUGUUGCUCCCAUAGACUAAUACAAUAUAAAGAUUUCUUCCCACACCGCCUCAGCCCCCACUCCUAAAAAACCAAUUUAAAUUCUCAUUGACUGUACAACCUAUAGUCCAUACCAAAUUGAAAAAUUUACAAAUAUAGAACCUCAAAGAAUCUUCUUGCAUUCCAUUUUUUACGUCAAGAAAUUUGACUUUUACCACAUGCAAGUCAACAAAUAAAAAAAUCAUGUCUUUGUGAGAUGCACAUUUUCAGACGAAUCUGAAGAGCAAUGAAACCGUAAAAACCGAAUAUGAGAACACCGAGGACUCCAGAUAUCACCUAUAGAAUCUUCGGUCCACACUUGCAUGAUGAAAAUGAUGAAAAAAAAUUGAAGGCUUCGUCACCAACUCCCCAGGUUGUUUUGUUCUCCUAUCUCCUAAAUGUAAAGGAAAGGCAACCCGUUCUUUUUCCAAUCUUAAGGGGCACAGAACGACUCUGGUAUAAAAUAGUCAGUUUCUAUACAAAAAUAACUCCUUUGCACUUGGCACUGCACAUCUCAAAAUAAAAAGCAUGCAAGGAGGAGAAUAUAAUAGCAUUAAACAAGUUUUAUUAACCAAACUUCAAAGAUGCCACACAAGGCAAAAAAGAAAUCUGUACAAGCCAGAUCCCAAGAAUAAUAAUUCCAAUAUACAAUUCAGGAAAACAAUAACUAAAACCAGGUUCAUGAGGCCUCAGCAGAAGCAACAUGUAAUAGCCAUACUCUAUUAUUUGAAACACAUUUCCAAGUUUGGUUAAGAUUCUAAACUAUUCUCUAUGUGUCAAUUAUUAACAUGUAAAACAUAAUAAUAUACACUUAUACUACUACAGUAGUAAAACCAGUAAAACAACAAUACCUGCUGAAAAGAUUUGCUACCUCUUCACAUUCACGAGCAUUGUAGAAUCAAAUCCCAUUUACUUCUUGGGAUGCAUUCCGAUAUAACAAAUACGGAACCUGAACUUCAAACUCAAAAUCUCCCAAAAGAUUUUCCACUAAAUUAUCUGCACAUAUCCAAGAUAUUGAAGCUUAUCAGUGCAAAAACAUAUGCAAAAAGACAUGAAGGUUAGAAGACAUAACUAAAACUUAGCAACAACUGAUAAGCACAACAAGACAUGAAAUAUAACACUAGUUGUAAAUACUCUAAAACUUACCAACCCCCUCUCCUGAUUGUCAUAAAACGGCCAAUAUUUAACCCUAGACAACAAAAUUGCAAAUACUCUAGCCUCUAUAUUAUUGGCAUAUAAAUAUUUUCGGUUAGGUACAUUAUAUUCUUCGUUCUAAAACCUCAAUUAUUAGCUAGUACUGUGAUAAAAUGAUUCAUCACUGAAAUUAAAACUAGUUCACGUACAAAUAAUCAAAACUGAAAUAGAAGCAACGAUAAACCAACCUGUAUUACGUCGAUUCAUCACAACAAACUGAAAUCGAGGCUGUGUGUUCCUGAAAAUUGAAAAAAUAAUAAUUUCACCAACUUCAUAUGUAAUACAAUCUCCAAAACACCGAAUAUCAAAUGAAAAAAUGGAAAGCAUAAGAGAUAAAAGAAUCUAAUUUUAUUGACCUUUUGACGACGAAGAGAGAUCCUUCAACAUCCUUACGACUCCAUUGGCUGAGAUCGAUGUUGAACUCGUAGAAGGUGACAUGAGCGGCCGUGAUGAGGAUCUCCUCAAUGAAUGGAUCGAUUCGCUGAAGAACUGUCAGGCUUAGGAGUUUUGUGCUCUGCUGGUCCAGAUUAGGCAUCAAUUUUCCGUUCUGCGACAUUUUUCAUAGUCCUUUUGGGCUUCUGCCCCGAGCACAAGCCCCAUGGUUUUUCUGUGAGCUCUCUCUCUUUUGUAAAUAAAGUGUUUGAUGAGAUAGCCGAGAGAGAGUGAAGAGUUGAACAGCUAAACAAGGUGAGGUGAACAGUUUCGGACUGAGACUCGAGAUUGAUCUUGCUUUAACGUCUUUUAAACAUUUGGGAAAUAGCAUUUAUUUCUUUCAAUUUCUCUACUGUUUUUUUCCUUUAUGUCAUUUAGACCCCAAAAUUAGAUUUAUUAUAAUCAUAUUGUACCCAUACACUAUUAACCCCUUUUAUUUUUUAUAUUGUCAAUAUUAAUGUAUUAGAAUAAUGUUAGAAAUCUCAAUUAUUAUCUCAAUGUUUCAAUCAUAACUAAUGUGAUAAUUCAUCGGUAACUGCAACAUUAACUUAAUUAUUAAUGUUUAUCAUGAAAUGAUGAGAUUAUUAUUCAAGAAAGAAUUAGUAAACAUCAAUGACUAAAAUAAUGUGACAAUUAUAGCUGAAUAUUAGUACAAUAAUUAGAAUUCCUAAAGUUAGUGAAUGUAUUAUAAUAUAUGUGUGUUACACCACUUUAUGUCUCUCAAAUUCAAUUAAGUAAUUUCAGAAACCUGACCUUUUAUUAUAUUAAUUAGGAAUGCAUACAUGAACGAAAGAUGUGCAAAUUUUGUUCUAUUUUUCACUAUUAUUUACCUUUCAUCUACAUACGUCACUUGAUUUUUUGUGAUUAAUAUGCUUAAAUGGAUCUCUUUGAUAUAAAUAAAAUAAACAAAAAGUCUAAGAGAAAAAAAAAAUGAGGACCGAAAUUAUUACACCUACAACAAAUUUGCCCAGAGAGCAAUAAAUCAAACUUGCUUAGGAAGUACAAUGAUUAGUUAAUAACUAUCAUGUUAAAGCUUCUGUCAAGCAAACACCCAUUGAAUUUUUCGCUCGCUUCAAUGACUUACUUAUGCCCAAUAUAUUACUUUGCACAGUAGUAUUUGGGAUCCUAACAAUCAACUCUUAAUUUGGUCCCAAUAUAUUACUUUAUGAAUGCUUGUGUUGUUUUUUUUAUAUAAAAUAAUUUAUUUAAGUAAUCAUAGAAAUAAGGGAGAAAAGGGGGCAUUUGUUGACUCAAAGUCAAUUACAAAUAUUCCAUGCCUAACUUCCACGCACCCUAAAACGGUUUUAUUUGCUUUCACGCGUUCAUGAAUUUCCAUGAAAGAGAGUGCCUCUCGUCUCUUUCCGGACAGUGCCGACAAUUAUGUUAACGUGACAAAUACAUAACGUUAUUACAUACAAUAAUAAGUUUUUGGACCCGAGACUUGAGGGAGGUUCUAUCUAAUUCUAAAGAUUGUAACCAAAUCAUUAUCCCCAAUUUUUUUCAGUUAAAUAAAAUAAAAUUUAUGCUUACGUAUAAAUAAUACUUUGGACAUUCUUGAUAUUUGUCCUUUUAAGAUAAACACCAACCCAAUUAUCUAUUUGUUUGUCUGUUUUUUUUUUUCAAUAACAGUUUGUUAGCAUAAAUAUUUACCUGUGAAAUCGAGGAGGAGAAAAUGUUAGAAAAAAUAAAAAGAAAAAAAAUUAAGGGAGAUAGAAUCAGAUUUUCUUUUUUGAGCAAAGAACAUACAUAAAAAGAUAUUAAAUCUAUUAAGUCUACUUGUCUAUAACGGUAAAUUGCAUAACGAAUAAUUUAUCAGAACAAAAUAAAUUUUAUUAGAUUAUGAGUGUUCUGAUUAUUUUUUAGAGUACCAAUUGUCCCAUGGCACAACAAAAUGCCAGAAAAUAUAAUGUAAAAUUGCUGGUUUGUUGCUUAAAAUUUUCAAUAAUAAUUUCACCUUUUUAGUAAUUAGAGAGAGAUGGAGAGGAUUGACGGCCAAUGUUUAGCGAUUUGGGGUCAAUUCAAAGUCAACUAACGUGUAAAACACGUGUAAGCAUAGAAAACGCUUAGAUUAUUUGUGUUUCAAGUGCAAGAAAAGUAAGAAAAGAAAAAAUGAUUUCCUUUCAUGAACUUCCAAGAAAGAAAGAAGACCCUUCACCUUCUUCGCGACAACAAAUGAUGUUGAUAUGACAAAUACAAGCGCUAUUACAGGGAACAUCAUAAGACCGAGACUUGAUAAAGGGUUUGUUAAAUUACACGUUAUUUUCUUGUUGACUGAAUUGGAAGAAAAAAAUAAAAUAAAAUAAAAUUGUAAUCAGGGUGAUGUGUGGAAUAUAGUGAAAUAAAUAAAUAGAGAAGAGAAACUCGUUGAUCAAUUAAAAGCUGGGAGUAUCAUCAGUUCAAUUGGUUAUAAAUAGCGUAGAGCCAUCCUCUCGUUGUUGCAGAACUGAAGGAAAGAGAGACAGAAAGAGUGUGUGUAGGUGAUUAUAAUUAAGAAGAUAUAAUGUGUGGUUCAAAAAGAGUGUGGGUGAGUGAGUUAAUUUUCAUAUUAUUAGUAGUAAACGGGUGGUGGAGUGAGGGAUGUUUGGAGCAAGAGAGGUCUGCUCUCCUCCAACUCAGACAUUUCUUCAAUGAUGAUCAACGUCUUCAAAACUGGAUAGACGAUGAGUAUUAUUCAGAUUGUUGUCAGUGGGAACGGGUUGAGUGCAACAACACCACUGGCAGAGUGAUUAAAUUAGAUCUAAGAUAUACUCGGAAUCGGAAAUCAGCAGAGUGGUAUAUGAAUGCCUCUCUGUUUACUCCCUUUCAACAAUUAGAGUCUCUUGAUCUAAUUGGGAACAAUAUAGCCGAUUGUGUUGAUAAUGAAGGUCCUUAAUUUACUCUAUUUUAAUUCUUCCUCAUAAUUUUUUCCAUUUAUCUGAUCCCUUUUGGUUUUUAUUUAAUUUGUAUGUGAUACAAUAAAAUUAUUUUUUAUUUUUUAUUUUUUGGCAGGUCUAGAUAAGUUAUCAAGGUUGAACAACUUGAAGGUUCUUUAUUUAGACCUUAACCACUUCAACAACAGCAUCUUUUCAUCUCUAGGUGGUCUUUCAUCACUCAGAAACUUAUCAUUGGCUGCUAAUCGAUUGAAUGGAAGUGUUGAUAUUAAAGGUAAGUAAGCUUCAUCCCUUCUCCCCUGUCCCAUCUUUUGUGGAUCUUAUUUCACUGAGCAGCUGGAAGUAUUGAUACGAGAUCUAGCUAGACUCUUGCGAGUUUAGGCUUCACGGCUUUGAAUAGUAUAAAAAUAAGUUGAAGAAAUUAUCAAUAUAUGCAAUUUUCAAUGCUUCUCAUAAUCAGACACAAUUCAAUCUAAUUAUUUCGUAUGUCCUGUCUUCAAAAGUAAAGAAUUGAGCUCCGAUUGGAAAUCGACAUCGUAGCUUUUUAUUUUCUGUAAUGCUAUUUCUUCGUUAACAAGUUUAUAUCCUAAGAGGGAUUGGAUUCGAAAAAAGUUUUGACGUUCAAGGUAAGCCAUAAUAACCUGCAUCUUAUUUGUCUGCCUGUAUCUAAAUUUGUGCACUGAAUUUAGUAUUUUGGUUAUUGUUAAGGGAUCAGAUAUUGGCUUCCAUAGACCAACUUGUACUUAGUUAACUAAUUAAUUAACGACAUUUAGUAUUUAACAAAUUAAAAUUUUGUAUUUAAUCUAUUUUAAUUUUUUUAAGAAAAAAGAAAAAGAUAUAGCAACAGGUAAAGCUAAAAUAUACCUGCUUAAAGCCACUCAGUCGAGCCAUUUGAGAGCUGCUUUAAAUUUUUCGGAUUAGCCAUAUUCUUUUCUUAUUAAUAAAAUUCUUUUCGCUGAGAUUUAACAAAAAAAAAGGAGAAAAUAAUUUAUUUAAUUAACUAUGUUUUAAGUGUUGGAAUAAAUACAGGACUGAAAUCCUUGAGUAACUUGGAGGAGCUGGACAUGAGCUUCAAUGCAAUCGACAAUCUUGUGGUUCCUAAAGGUAUACAAAAUGUUCAAAUAUUAAUAAUUUGGAGGACAGUUUAAUUGAUUUGAUAAGGUGAAGAAACGUGUUUUCAUUUCUUAAAUAAAGCAUUAUACAUUGAGAGUUAUUUAUAGAUGCAGAGGCUACAUUUUUUCAAAGAUUACAUAUGUGAAUACGGAAGGAAAUGUGUCAAUCCGUUCGGCGCGGAUCUUGUCUUUGACAAGUGCAGAUUCUGUCUUUGAAAGCUUCAUUCAAUGUCGUUUUAUUUGAUUCUCAACACUCCCCCUCAAGUUGGUGCAUAGAUGUCUUGCAUACCCAACUUGUUUAGGAAUUUUGUAAAUGCCCUGCUUGAAAUGGCCUUCGUUAAAAUAUCUGCAAGUUGAUCUUCUGAUCGAAUUUUCGGCAGUUCUAAGAUUUUUUCAUCUAAUUUCUCCUUGAUGAAAAAUCUAUCUACCUCCACAUGUUUUGUUCGAUCGUGUUGAACUGGGUUAUGAGCAAUAUCUCGUGCAGCUUUGUUGUCACAGUGUAAUUGUAUUGGUUGUUGUGAUGGAUAGCCCAAAUCGUUUAAGAUAAAACUUAUCCAUUGCCCUUCACAUAUCCCAAGGGCCAUGCCUCGAUAUUCUGCUUCAGCGCUCGAACGGGCAACGACAUGUUGUUUCUUGCUUCUCCAUGUGACAAGGUUUCCUCCCACAAAGGUAAAGUAUCUUGAAGUAGAGCGUCUAUCACUAACUGACCCCGCCCAAUCUGCAUCAGUAUAAACUUCUAUGUUGCUGUAAUCUUCAUUUUUGGAAAAUAAGAUUCCUUUUCCUGGAUUUGUCUUCAGGUACCUCAAGAUCCGCAUUACUGCUUUCAUGUGUUGUUCUCUGGGAUUAUGCAUAAACUGGCUUACAACACUCAAUGCAUAAGCAAGAUCUGGCCUUGUGUGGGACAAGUACAUCAAUCUUCCAAUCAGCCUUUGAUAUCUUCCUUUGUCUACUGGAACUUGGUCUGAAGUAAUACAAAACUUCAAUCCUUCUUCUAUUGGGGUGUCAAUAGGCUGACAAGCUGUCAUUCCCGUUUCGUGCAAUAGAUCUAAGGCAUAUUUCCUUUGAGACAGAAAGAUUCCUCCCUUAGAUCGAGAAACCUCAAUUCCAAGAAAGUAUUUUAAGGCACCUAAAUCCUUUAUCUCAAACUCUCUUGACAAGUACUUCUGAAGAGCCUCUGUUUCUUCCUCGUCGUUGCCUGUAACUACCAUAUCAUCCACAUAGACAAUAAGGGCAGUGAUUUUACCUUGUCGUUUUUUUAAUGAAUAAGGUAUGAUCUGAAUUGCUUUGGUUAUACCCAAAACGAACCAUAGCCUUUGUGAAUUUCCCGAACAAUGCUCUUGGGGAUUGCUUCAACCCAUACAAUGAUUUCUUCAAUUUGCAUACUUUCUGACUGAGUCGUUCUAGUCCACUGCAUCCUGGUGGCAGAUCCAUAUAAAUUUCUUCAGACAGGUCUCCAUGGAGGAAAGCAUUCUUUACAUCGAACUGUUGCACUGGCCAAUCCAAGUUGACUGCUAAUGAUAAUAAGAUACGAAUAGUAUUAAUUUUUGCUACCGGUGCAAACGUAUCAAUAUAAUCAAUCUCGUAGGUUUGGGUGUAACCCUUAGUUACGAGUCUUGCUUUGUAUCGUUCAAUAGAGCCAUAUGCUUUGUAUUUUAUAGUGUAGAUCCAUCGACAACCCAUUGGUUUCUUUCCUGAUAGAAGAUCAACUAGUUCCCAUGUUUGAUUUUUCUGAAGAGAUCUCAUUUCAUCAUUCAUAGCCGCUUUCCACUUUGGAUCUUUUAAAGCUUCCUGAACACUGUUAGGAAUAGAUACAGCAGAUAAUUGAUUCACAGAUGACUGAUUUGAUUCUGACAAGCGAUGGUUAGACACAAAAUGACUCAUAGGGUAUUUGACUCUACUAGAGAAGUCAGGCUCAUAUGUGGGUUUAGGGAUACCUCUAUUUUGACGUUGGGGAAGAAUUCUUCUUAUUGGACUUGUGGUAGGAACAUCCUCUGCAGACGAUUGGUUAGGUAUUUCUUCAUGUGACUCAUUCUCGAUUGCAGUUGUGUUUGAGUUAUUGUGCUCCCCAAAUGUGUCUUCACAUAUCUCAGCCUGCGAAUCAUCACCAUUUGCUUUUCCAGUAUUUUGAAGGUUUACUAUCUCAAUGGAAGAUUGACUUUCUUCAGGUGGAAGAUAUGUAAGAGUAUGAAUUUCCUAUUCAUUAUACUCCCCCUGAAAUUCAGACUCUGACAAGUAGUAUAUGAUAUCUUCAUGAAAAACGACAUCCAUGGUGAUGUAUAUUUUUCUUGAUGGUGGAUGAUAGCAUCGAUAUCCCUUUUGAUGUAAGGCAUACCCUACAAACACACAACGUAGUGUUCGAGGAGAUAAUUUGUCUUGUUGUGGCAAAUGAACGAAGGCAACACAGCCAAACACAUGUGGGGGCAGAUUCGGCAUAUUUGGUGACAUAAUUGCAUCAUUCAGAACUUGGAAAGGAGUCUGGAAUCCAAGGGAGCUUGAAGGUGUUCGAUUGAUCAAGUAUGCUGCGGAUGCCAGUGCUUCUCCCCAAUAAGAUAAUGGCAUGUGGGCUUGGAUUAGUGAUGCUCGAACAACUUCUAGUAAAUGUCUAUUUUUUCGUUCAACAACGCCAUUUUGUUGGGGUGUCCCCACACAAGUGGUUUGAUGGACAGAUCCUUGUGAUUUCAGAAACUGUUGAAUUGCUGUGCUCAUAUACUCGCCUCCAUUAUCAGUAUGUAGAACUCGAAUUUGUGUCUGAAAUUGAGUAGUCACCAUCUUAUGAAAUCUUUGAAAUAAAGAGUUUACUUCGUCUUUCGAUUUCAUCAGAAAAAUCCAUGUCAUUCUGCUACAAUCAUCAAUAAAUGUAACAAACCAACGAGCACCUCCAAUUGUAGAAACUUUAGAUGACCCCCAUACAUCAGAAUGUACUACCAUAAAAGGAACUGGAUUUUUAUUUAAGGACAAUGGAAAAGUAGUUCGAUGGCUUUUUGAAAGUUCACAAACAUCACAUUUAAAGUUACAAACAUCAAAUUUCAAAAACAAACUAGGAAAUAAUUUUUUUAAGUAACCAAAUGACACAUGCCCUAAACAUCUAUGCCAUAACCAAAUUUCUGAUUUCCCUUUUUUAUGGAACUAUCUGCGACUAGUGCGGGGCUUAGCUUUCCAGUGUUUGUUGAUGACAUCUCCAAGUAGUACAAGUUGCCUCGUCUAAUACCAUAACCAAUCGUUUGCUUCGUUUGGAUGUCCUUAAACACACAAUGAUCAGGCCAAAAAAUUACAACACAUGAUAAGUAAGUGGUUAAUUGAGACACAAAUAAAAGAUUAUAAUCUAAAGAUGGAACAAUUAACACAGUGUCUAAAUUUAAUUCAUUUGUGAGUCAUAAAGAUCCUUCCCCAAUAACUGAGGUUGUGGUUCCAUUUGCAGUAGAAAUAUGUUUUUGUGAAGAUGGUUUCAAUUGAGAAACUUGUCGAGAAUCAAAAGUCAUAUGAUCAGUUGCCCCAGAAUCAAUUAUCCAUGUACUAUUAAUAACAGGUGUACGAGUUUUAAGGGCCUUACUUAGACUAACAGAGGUUGCGAUUUGCACUGAAGAUUCUUUUCUAAGAUCUGUAGUGGAUGUGGAUUCAGCUACUGCAGUUUUUGAUCCAUGCUUGGUGUUCUUCUUUCGAGUAUCCCACCAGUUAGGAUAUCCAAUGAUUUCAAAACAUUGUUCUUUCGUAUGACCCUUCUUUCUACAAUGAGUGCAAUGGAGUGAUGACUUGUCAACAAACUUCCUUUGAGGCUGCUGUCGUGCUAUCAUAGUAGACGUUUCUGAGUCGACCUUCUUGUUUAGUUUGCUUUGCCGUAUAUCUUCUCUUCGGAUCAGAGAAUAACAUUCUUCUAACUCUGGGAUAAUGUCUUUUCGUAGAAUUUCUCCACGAACUUGGUCAAAUUCUUCAUCUAGCCCAGCAAGAAAAAUGUGCACUCUCAAUCUUUCAACAGACCUUCUGUAUAUUACAACAUCUUCUGGAUCCUUCAUGACCACUUUAUCUCGGUGAUCAAGUUCUCGAAAUAUUUCGACCAAUUCUCCAUAGAAUUUAGAGAGUGGUUGUCCAUUUUGCUUAGUAGAGAAUGCCUUCUGGUUUAGAGUGAAAACUUGUAAUUCAUCGCUUCCAUCAUAGAAGGCUUUUGAUAAUGCAUCCCAGAUUUCGUAGGCUGUAGGAAUUCGUAAAUAUCGCUUCAUGAUCACCAGAGACAUGGAUAUGAGUAACCAUCUUUUUAUUUUUUGGUUCUCACUAUACCAUUUCUCAUAUUCCUUUGAAGAUUCCUCAAAUGGCUUUGUGCUGCUACGAAUAUAUGAGAGUUUUUCUCUUUCUGCAAGAUGCAUCUCCAUUAUUUGAGACCAAACAUCGUAGUUUGUCUCAGUCAGGAUAAUUCCAGCAUUAAAUACUCCAUCAGAUUGAACAGAUUGAAUGACAACAUGACUAGAUUCAGUUGGAGUUUUCUCCAUUUUUUUUGUUUUUCUUUUUUCUCUUUUUUUUUUGUUUUUUUUGUUUUUUUUGUUUUUUUUGUUUGUUUUCUUUUUUUUGUUUUUUUUCCGUCUAGAUUGAAAGAAAAAAAAAAUAACCUUUUUAGGUAACAAAACGACAGGUCGUUUGGCCACUGCUUGCCAAACUGACAUGUCGGUUAUGGUGGAAUAUAAACGACAUGUCGUUUUAAUCCUGUUGCACUUCUGGAGACUAAGCGUCACGUCGUUUUACCUCUAAUUUAAAAUCGACAUGUCGGUUUUAAUAUAACGAAAAAAGACACGUCGUUUUUUGACUGCUGCACUUCUGAAAUAAAAACGACAUGUCGGCUGACGUCUUCUUCAACCUCUGGAGCAUGUGAGAGCGCGUGAAUGAUGACAGAGGCGCGUGGUUGACUGGCCGUGGCUUCGGGUGGCGGGUGGGAGCGCGUGGGAAUGUGUUUAAAUGCGAAAUUUUUACAGUUUCUUCACUGAAAACUGAGAAAUUUGAUGGUGUUCUUGGGUUUUGAGGAACACACUCUCAGAAAAUUGCUGGGAUUGUUGAUAAAUUUGUAAACUCAAGUUUUUUACGUAUGGGUGGCUUGUUUCUUGAUCGGCAUGGAUAUCUGUAAUGGUAGGAAUGGGUUUAAGAAAGAAAAUGGUGGGAAAAAUGGUUGUGGGAGGAAUUUGGUUUCCUCUAUUUUUGUUACAAACAGAGCAGCGGAACUUGAAGAAACUUGAGCGUAUUCAUGGCUCUGAUACCAUGAAGAAACGUGUUUUCAUUUCUUAAAUAAAGCAUUAUACAUUGAGAGUUAUUUAUAGAUGCAGAGGCUACAUUUGUUCAAAGAUUACAUAUGUGAAUACGGAAGGAAAUGUGUCAAUCCGUUCGGCGCGGAUCUUGUAUUUGACAAGUGCAGAUUCUGUCUUUGAAAGCUUCAUUCAAUGCCGUUUUAUUUGAUUCUCAACAGGAAUGCCCAAUGACACUUACCCAAAAUAAUUUAAUCCGAAAUUGUAUCCCAAAUAGAUUACAGAGGUUUGAGGAAGUUGGAUACCCUUUAUUUGGGAGGGAAGGGAAAUUGCAGUGAUAUAUGGAAGCAAGGUGUUGCAAUCAAUAAAGAAAUUCAUAGGGUCAAUAUUCAAGGACUCUCCUCCAACUCAAACAUUUCUCAAAUAGAUUAUUUAAUCUGAAAUAGUAUCUCAAAUAGAUUAUAGAGGUUUGAGGAAGUUGAAUACCUUUUAUUUGGGGGGGAAGGGAAAUUGCGGUGAUAUAUGGAAGCAAGGUGUUGCAAUCAAUAAAGAAAUUCGUUGGUCAAUAUUCAGGACUCAUCCAAAGUGAUCGUUAAAGUCUAGAGGUCUGCUCUUCUCCAACUCAAACAUUUCUUCAAUGAUGAGAAUUAUUCAAAUUGUUGUCAGUGGGAAGGGGUUGAGUGCAACAACACCACUGGCAGAGUGAUUAAACUAGAUCUAGGAGCCACUAGGAAUCGGGAAUCAUCAGAGUGGCAUAUGAAUGCUUCUUUGUUUACUCCCUUUCAACAAUUAAAGUCUCUUCAUCUAAUUGGGAACAAUAUAGCCGAUUGUGUUGAAAAUGAAGGUCUUUAAUUUACUCUAUUUUAGUUCUUCCUCGUAAUUUCUUACAUUUAUCUUAUCCCUUUUGGCUUUUGUUUAAUUUGUACGUGAUACAAUAAAAUUAUUUUUUAUUUUUUGGCAGGUCUAGAGAGGCUAUCAAGGUUGAACAACUUUAAGUUUCUUUAUUUAGACCUUAACCACUUCAACAACAGCAUCUUUUCAUCUCUAGGUGGUCUUUCAUCACUCAGACAAUUAUCAUUGGCUACUAAUCGAUUGAAUGGAAGUGUUGAUAUUAAAGGUAAGUAAGCUUCAUCCCUUCUCCCGUGUCCCAUCUUUUGUGGAUCUUAUCUCAUUGACGGGCUGGAAGUAUUGAUACGAGAUCUAGCUAGACUCUUGCUAGUUUAGGCUUCAAGGCUUUGAAUAUUACAAAAAUAGGAUUAAGAAAAUAUCAAUAAAUGCAAAUUUCAAUGCUUCUCAUAAUCAGACACAAUUAAAUCUAAUUAUUUUGUAUGUCCUGUCUUCAAAAGAAAAGAAUUGUACACCAAAUGGAAAUCGACAUUAUUGUUUGCUUUUGAUUAGUGGAUCAAAAAUCGACUAAUUUUUGUUUAACAUAAAAAUAAAAAAGAGAAAAUAAGUUAUUUAAUUAACCCUGUUUUAAGUGUUGGCAUAAAUGCAGGACUGAAUUCCUUGAGUAACUUGGAGGAGCUGGACAUGAGCUUCAAUGCAAUCGAAAAUCUUGUGGUUCCUAAGGGUAUACAAAAUGUUCAAAUAUUAAUAAUUUGGAGGACAAUUUAAUAGAUUUGAUUAGGGAAUGCCCAAUGACACUUACCCAAAAUAAUUUAAUCCAAAAUUGUAUCCCAAACAGAUUUCAUAGGUUUGAGAAAGUUGAAUACCCUUUGUUUAGGGGGAAGCAGAAUUCGAAUGAUAGAUGGAAGCAAGGUGUUGCAAUCAAUAGGAUCACUACCGUCCCUUAAAACACUUUAUCUUUCGUCUACUAAUUUUACGGGAACAGUAGUUAAUCAAGGUAAGUAAAUCUUUUAUGUAGAAAAUAAUUGAAUUAAUAUAUAUAGCUAAAAUUUACUGUUUCUACUUCUUUCUAAAUAGAAUUGCACAAUUUCACCAACUUGGAAGAAUUGAUAUUGCUCGGGUCUCAUCUCCACGUAAGCCAGCUUCUGCAAAGCAUCGCAUCAUUCACAUCGUUAAAGCAUUUGUCAAUGCCAGUUUGUACGCUUACAGGUGCCGUACAUGGUCAAGGUAAAUUACGGGUAUCUGAAGCUUUUAUGAUAUUAAUUCGAUAAUAAUUAUUUCUUUUCAAGUUAAUUUUCUCCCAUAAAAUAAUAUAUAUUUUUUUAAAUUUUAUAUAUUUUCACUGUCCAAUAGUUCUAGCUUCUCUAAUUUGCAGGAUUCUUGAUUAAGGUUAAUGAAAUUUUAGUUCUGUUAUGUUAAGAAUAUUUUGAUCGCUAAGAAGAGUAAAGAAAAAUAAGUAAAUUAACCCAAAAAAAGAAAAGAACAGGAACAUAUUAUCCUUAUUACCUUGCAUUAUGUGAUCAAUAUCAAAAUAAUAACCAUUUCUUGUUUAUUGCUUGUAGAUUUUCGUAAAUUCAACAAUUUGGAACAUCUGUACAUGGGUGAUGUGCAGGUUGACGUCAACACCAGUUUUCUUCAAAUUGUCGGCGAAUCGAUGCCUUCUCUUAAGUUUUUAUCACUGACAGAUUCAAGUCUUAAUAAAAACACCAUUCUUGAUCAAGGUUAGUUAAUGAUUCUCUUUCUCCCUCUCGCGCAUCUUAACUAAAUUUAAUUGCGAAUAUCUGUAAUGCUAGCUAUUUAUAAACUUAAUGAAAGAUGAUAAGGAGCCAUAAUAAUGACAAAAAUAACUGUAAAAUAGUGCACUGUUGUAGUGUUGAUUGAAAAAUAAUGCUAAUUUUUUACUUAACACUAUAACGCUGUAUAAUUUUACAGUUAUUUUGUUGCCAUUACGUCAUAUUCUACUGUUCAACUAUCAGUGAUCAAACUUAAUUUUUAAUAUGUACUUUAAAGAUUUUAUGCAAUUAUUUAAGUUUUAUGCAAUUAUAUUUUUCAGGACUUUGUCGGUUAGUGCAUCUGCAAGAGUUAUACAUCAACGGUAAUGAUUUGAGAGGUAGCUUGCCAUGGUGCUUGGCAAAUUUGACUUCCCUUCGAGUAUUAGAUGUCUCUUACAAUCAACUAACUGAAAACAUCUCCUCAUCUCCCCUCAUGCAUCUAACAUCUAUCGAAGAGCUCAUACUUUCAAAUAAUCACUUCUUCCAAAUCCCUAUUUCACUUGAACCACUUUUCAAUCUCUCAAAACUCAAGACUUUCGAUGGUGAAAUAUGCGCAGAAACUGAGUCACAUUAUAAUUCUUUGACCCCAAAAUUCCAACUGACUUCUAUCUCACUGUCUGGUUACAUAGAUGGUGGCACAUUUCCCAAAUUCUUGUACCAUCAGCAUGACUUGAAGAAUGCUGAUCUCUCACACCUUAACUUGAGUGGACAAUUUCCAAAUUGGUUGGUAGAAAACAAUACGAACUUAGAGACGCUUCUUCUUGCCAACAACUCUCUUUUUGGAUCAUUUCGGAUGCCAAUUCAUUCCCACCAGAAAUUGGCAAGAUUGGAUGUCUCUAAAAAUUUCUUUCAAGGCCAUAUUCCGGUGGAAAUCGGAACAUAUCUGCCAUGUUUAAUGGAUUUAAACUUAUCUAGAAAUGCUUUCAACAGUAGCAUUCCCUCUUCAUUUGCUGAUAUGAAAAUGUUGGAAAGGUUGGACAUAUCCUACAAUCAGUUGACUGGUGAAAUCCCUGAGCGCAUGGCCACGGGUUGCUUCUCAUUGGAAAUUCUUGCAUUGUCAAACAACAGUUUGCAAGGUCAUAUAUUCUCUAAAAAAUUUAACUUGACAAAUUUGAUGACGUUGCAGUUGGAUGGUAAUAAUUUCAGUGGAGAGAUCCCAGAAAGCUUAUCUAAGUGUCGUUUCUUAAGAGGAUUAUAUCUAAGUGAUAAUCAUCUCUCUGGUAAGAUUCCAAGAUGGUUGGGUAAUUUGUCAGCUUUAGAAGAUAUUAUAAUGCCCAAUAACAAUCUUAAAGGACCAAUUCCAAUCGAGUUUUGUCAGCUUGAUUAUCUGAGGAUUUUAGACCUUUCAAACAAUAGUAUUUUCGGAACCUUACCAUCUUGUUUUAGUUCAGCAUAUAUCGAACAAGUUCAUUUGUCAAAAAACAAGAUAGAAGGACGGUUGGAAAGUAUAAUCCAUGACAGCCCCAAUUUGGUGACAUUAGAUCUCAGUUAUAACCGCUUACACGGAAGUAUUCCAAAUCUGAUUGACAGACUACCUCAGUUAAGCUACCUUCUUUUGGCUAAUAAUUAUAUUGAAGGUGAAAUACCAGUUCAAUUAUGCCAGUUGAAGGAAGUGCGGUUGAUUGAUCUUUCUCAUAAUAAUCUAUCUGGUCAUAUUCCUCCUUGCUUGGUUAACACUUCACUCAGUGAAGGUCAUCAUGAGGCAGUAGCUCCAACUUCUAGUUCGCAGGAUCAAUCGCCUGCCUUACUUCCAUCUGAGGCUCCAACUGGAUCUCCGAUGGGAAAGGAAGAAACUGUACAAUUCACAACAAAGAAUAUGUCCCACUAUUAUCAAGGAAGAAUUUUGACGAGUAUGUCUGGGAUUGAUCUUUCUUGUAACAAACUGACAGGUGAGAUUCCUACUCAAAUUGGAUAUCUUACUAGGAUUCAUGCACUAAAUCUAUCUCAUAACAAUUUGACGGGCACAAUCCCGACAACAUUUUCAAACCUGAAGCAAAUCGAAAGCUUGGACCUCUCCUACAACCUACUGCAUGGGAAAAUCCCUUCUCAGCUCACUGUGCUAAAUACAUUGGCGGUCUUCACAGUAGCAUACAAUAACUUAUCAGGCAAAAUUCCAGACAGAGUUGCACAAUUUUCAACUUUUGAGGAAGAUAGCUAUGAGGGGAAUCCUUUUCUUUGUGGAUGGCCACUGUCUAAAAGUUGCAAUGAUAGUGGAUUAUCAGCAGUGACACGAGAAGCUUACACUGAUAAUGAAGAAGGUGAUAGUUUAAUUGACAUGGACAGUUUCCUAAUCACUUUUACAGUAUCUUAUGGAAUUGUGAUAUUAGGAAUUAUUGGAGUUUUAUACAUAAACCCCUAUUGGCGACGAAGAUGGUUUUACCUUGUUGAAGUAUGUAUGAUCUCUUGCUACUAUUUUGUAGUAGAUAAUCUUAUUCCUAGAAGAUUCUAUGGUGGAUGGAUGUAAUUUCAUUUACUUUACAACUUAUAUGUAAUUUUUAAAGAAUUUUCUUUUGCAUGCAUGGAAUAGCAACUCAAUAAAAGUAUUUGAUGCAAAUUGUCCUAGAACAACUUAGUAAUUUCAUUGCUACUAUUUGGUUGUAUAUAUACAGUUAAUGAAAUUUUUAAUCAUUCGCAGUAGGAAUUUCUUUAGAUGGCGGCCAAAACUAACAGAUUUGGGGCUCUACUUCUACACAUCAUAACAGGCAAAAGGUCUCUCUUUUACACGAUCUGAAUGAAGAUUAACUUACGCCCUCUAGGCUCUGGAGUGUGUGUAAGUUCUCUAUUAAACUUGACGGUUGAGAUUUCAGGUCCAGAUGAAAGUUAAAUGCAGGCGACGAGACUUCACUUCAAGUAAACUGGGACAAACUGAGAGUGAUGGGUAGCUCAACUUAUGGAGGAUAACUUGGACUUGGAGUAACUAUCAGAUUUGCAACUCUUGUUAUAUGCUAGUGGGGAUUUAGGUAGCAAUUAUCGCCUUGAGAGUUACAGUAAUCGAUUCAUUUCCUCCUCCAUUUCUGAUGGUAACCCAGCUCUAUACAAGAACAAUCAGAGAAGGUUCAUUUAAGAAAUUUCACAACCCACAUUUUUUUUUUCCUUUUUGCCCUCUUCCUCACAAUAAAAACACCUAACACACCAAGCCGUGCACAAAAUAGUCCUAUUUUAUUCAAGUCAUGAAUCCAAAAACUAUCCCAGCUCACUUUGUUUAACCAGCAUAACUAAAUUGUGGGCAUAAAUGAACACACUUUCAGAAAGCUACACAAUACAAACUGGGUUUCACUUGCAGAAAGCUACACGAUAGACAAAAUCUAGCAGCUACAUAAUGGUAUCACUUUCAGCUGGUCAUGAAUGGUGUGCAUUCAGCAAUGCUCGAUAGACCAUGUCUAUGAAUUGAUUGUCCUAUUACAUAUAAAAUCUGGUCAGAUAUACAAGGAAAAAAAUAAUAAUUGAAAAUGCAUCACAAAAAAUAAGUCUCGCAUUAGUGUUUGCACUCUAAGCAUGAUUUGAAGACUGCGAUAAGUGAAAAAUAGUUCAAUCCACUGAUGAGCAUAAAUUUAUUUAAAUGUCAAUUUAGAUAUCAUAAAAAAGUAAACAGUAAUUCACAGUCACUUAAAAGAGUUGAUAAAAUGCGUGCCAUGAAUGCAUUUUUGUACAUAAGAAAUCCAAAGAGUAUUUCUGACAAUACAAAUAUGCUAGCUUUAAAUCUGCCGUCAAUAUGCAAUUAAGAAGAUUAUACCAGCUGCACGAUAAAGUUCCCCUAAUCUUAAUAACAGUAAACAUGAACAUGUCAGAUGCAAUUAUAGCUUCGAGCAUUUGCAUAACCAGAAAUCCUAACCUGAACAAGCACCAGAAGUGUCUCUCGGACUUUCUCCUUGCUGAUAAAUGGUCCGCUGUUUGAAGUAAGAGCAGGAGUAAGAGAUGGUGGAGGGGUUGGUGGUGGAAAAGGUUGAGGGACUGGGGCACCAUAUGGGCUGCAACACUCAGGGGAGGAUUAAGUGGCGGAGCUGUUGGUGUAGAUGAAGAGACAAGCUGCAUCAUCCGUGCAUAGGAGGAUGGAGGAGGAACAAAGAAUAAGGAAGGCUUUACAAGAUUAGGGGUAGGUGCUGAUAGAGGUGGAGAUGGUAUUUGCAAGGUUGGCACGAUAGGAGAAGCAACACUGGCGGGAUGAGAAGAUAAAGAAAUAGUUGUAUUGGACUGGUAAGGUUGUGCAGAGAUUGCUGCAUUAGAAGUAUUCCCUACAGUCAAAGCUGUCUGCAAUGAUAAGGACAGAUGUCAUAUACAAGGACAUCAUAGAAGUUGAACCUCACACAAAAAUGAAGUGAUAACAUAUGAAAAUAGUAUAUGACUUGCAGCAUUUUUGUGGUAAUGUUGCAUACUUAUGUAGAAACAUAUUAUUUCAAAGAAAACAUACACUGAAGAAGUUCACAAAAGCAGGAUCUUCAGGAACAUCAGCAGCAUUUGAGGGAGUUGACUCUAGAGGACCAUCCAUAACUGCCAUAGUUGGAACAGCUUCCAGUUCCUCAAACUCACUGCAGUUUAACAUAAAAGGAACUUGAUGACCAAUUUAAGUAAUAAUUAGAUGAUAUAAGAGGUUAGGGAAAAUGAUGAGUGGACCCUUAUGGAAGGUGAUUUCACCUUAGCUAAACACGAAAAUAAAAAGAAAUCACCUCGAGUGCAAUGCAAAGAAUUUUUUCUCUCUCUUCUCUAACUCCUCUUAUUCGAAAUUGCUCAUCAUUGUGCUGUUCUUCGAGUUUUCGCUAGAGUAGAGAAAGCUAUUCUCCCGUUAAGUGCAGAGGAAAGAGAAGGGAAAGGGCCUGGUAUGAUGCUAUUCUAUAGGAAGUGAGAAGGUGAAGGGUCGAAAUAUUUUGUAAUUUGGAGGUGGUGUUUGUUAGUGUGUGUGUACUUCUGAAUUUAUUACCUCUGUAGGAUCCAUAGAAAUUGCCUCUUGUUCAGCAUGCACUGUGCCUACGAGUAAGGCGAGCUUGCAUGGUAUCUAUUGUCUAUUUACUUGGAUAUUCAAACAGGACUACCAGUAACACAAAUCCCCAAACAAAACACUCUUUCAAGUGCAAGGAAAGAGUAACUUGGCCAUAUUUAUGGUUCAAGCACUACAAUAACUAAGAAUGUGAUGACUGUCCACAAACACUAUAUCAGUGCCUUUUGAACUACAUCACAUGCUCGAAGACUUUUUUUUUUAGUCAUACAUAAAUUAGCUAUAAAAUUAAGACCAUUAUACAACUAAAAAGAAAGAAAAAUUGUUUGCUACUACAUAUCAAUGUAAGAUGGCAGACUUCUUACUUAAACAGAUGAGAGGCUACAAAUAAAAAAUUUGUGCAAAUAAAAUAUAUGAUAAAGAGCAUAAUACUUUCUUGGGGGCUAAAAAUAAUAUACAACUUGUGAAAUAUAAAUUGAGCUACCAUUACCUUUUAGAUGUGGCAACUUUCGACUUUUGAGGCACCUUGGAAUAUGCAUUCAGAAUCCUGCAUUUGGAAGCCAAAUAAAUAAUGUUAAUAACAAUUUUACAAUAGAAAAAUUAAAAAUUGAUAAAUGGCAGUUGUAAUUUAUGUAUGCGUAAAGAUAGCUUCACAUCCAGGGUCCUCCCAUAAACAUGCUUGUAACAAGAAUUAGUUUGCCUCAACUGUUAGCAACUGCUAACAAUAUACAAUAGUAAAAAUCACUCUUAUGAAGUCAACAAUACUAGGCACCAAUAAGAGUAUGAUACAGCCAUUCUAAAAUGGAAGAGAAUACAACUGUUUUACAACUUUGUUGCAUCAGGAGAUAUGUUAGGAGGAUUAAUCCAGAUACCUUCCAACCCAAUUAGGAAAACUCGAGUCAGAAACAAGGAGCUGCAACCGAACCUUACAAUCUUGAAGGAAGAAGGAGACUUGGGGCAUUUUUCCAGAUAGGUGACUUACUAGAUCUCCUGCCAAGAGAAUAUCUAUUGCUUUGAACCUCCAUUGAAUUUUCUUUUCCCUUUUUCUGGUUUUGACUUGGAACUUUCCAGCAUCAUCUAUUUGAUCUUUUUUAAAGCGAAAAAAGCAAUCUAUGGGUUGUCAACAUCUUAUCACCCCCCCCCCCCGGCCCCCAAAAAAAAAUCAAUGAGUUGUCAAUAAAUAGCGCCUACUCAAAUGUUUUCCAAUGUAUAACAAUGUGCAAAUCGACCUAGUAGCCACAUUUUUCCCCGGUUUCAACCACCGUAUGCAACUUUUCUAACCUUCCUUCAUUGCCCACGUCUACAGAACUAUCAUAUAAAGACUACAUUAUUAUUGGGAUAGAGAAAAAAAUACAGACUAUAUUAUUAUUAUAUCUCAUUUUAUUAAUUAACUAGUGCAAGACUUAUUUAGUGUCAAAUCAAGAACUAAUUAGAAAAGACAACUCAUGAUAAUACAGACCUUAAAAAGCAAUAGCUAGGACCACCCCAUAUACUCCUAUUUUAGCCUUCAAUAUCCUGGUAAAAACACAAUUAAGUCUUGCAAAAGAACAUUCACAAGUAAAUUCAACAUUAAUUAAGAUUAAGUAUCUACUGCACCUUCAAUCAAUGACUGGGUGAAUAGCAUGGUCAACCAUCCAGUUCCUGUAGCCCUCCUUGUACCUAUGUUAGUUACAUUUUACAUAUUAAGCCAGGAAAAUGAAGGAUCACAGCCUGGUAAAGAAAGCCAUUAAUUAAUAGUUUUUGUUUAACAAGUUCUCGUUUAGAUCUUUCCUAUUCAAUGAAUCAAUGUAAUCCAAGGAGAACUCUUCCAUUUCAAGCAGUGUUAGAAGAUAAUUGGAAAGCCUAAAGAUAAUAUACAAGGACCAAGAUAUCAAUUAGGUCAAAUAGUGAAUGUCAAAUAUAAAAAAUAAAUAAAAGAAGUUGUACAUGAUCAUUUACUAUCAAGUUCUGUAAAACUGAAAAUACCAUUAUCCCUAUAGAGAUUCUCAAACAACUCUUUAGCAAAUUAUAAAAUAGUUAAAAAAAGAACGAAAGUUUAAAAAAAAAAAAUGUACAACAGCCAUAUCAGGAGAUGUUUUUCUUCUCAAUCUCAAUAUUUUCUAGCCGUAAAACAAUUGAAAAGCUUAACACCAAGUGAAUUAUUAAGAAUUCAUCAUUUAAAUUCCCAAAUCGCGAAAUGUUGGUGCAACUAGGAAAGUGCAAAUGCAAUCACUUUACUAACACAAGAAACAUCAAUAGUGAGAAGCCAACUUUGUAUCAAAUUUGAAACAGAUAGAUAGAGGUCAAAAAAAUUAUAAAGACACUCAAUUAAAAGCCUUUCAAACAGCUUUUGCAUGCAACAAGAACAAAUCAAAGGCGAUGUGAAUGUAUUGAAAGACUAAUUUACAAUCAUCUACAGGACAUAAAUAUCUUGGAUAACUACUCUCUAUACCUUACUGUCCCACUGAAAAUCAUCAAAUCCCUCCAAACAAAAAUGACAAAAUGGAUAAGAAUUGUGUGGUCAAACUUCAAUAACUUAGCAGCCACAGCAAAAACUUAUGUAGACACGCAAGCCACUCAAAAUAGUCAUAUUGUUUGCUUUCCAAACACAAGCCACUUUGUAAUGAAUAUUCAUAAAUUGCUACUACCAUGUUUGUUAAAACACGUGAAAACCACCAUCACUAACUAAAUGUAACUAAUGAUCAUCAUCACGUUCAUGGAAUCACAUGUCUGACAGUAUUAAUUAGUGCAAAUGGCAUGCUUCUUAAAACUCCUUAUUUAUCACAUGGGUGGCAUUCCAAUCAACCAAUGAUUCUGAUCUAGUCAGCAUAUUCAACCCACGAGCCAGUAAUACCUCCAUUGCUUCUUUAGAUUUCUCAACAAAAUUCCACAUUCUAACCAUACUUCUGAACUUGUUGCUCCCAUAGACUAAUACAAUAUAAAGAUUUCUUCCCACACCACCUCAGCCCUCACUCCUAAAAAACCAAUUUAAAUUCUCAUUGACUGUACAACCUAUAGUCCAUACCAAAUUGAAAAAUUUACAAUAUAGAACCUCAAAGAAUCUUCUUGCGUUCCAUUUUUUACGGCAAGAAAAUUGACUUUUACCACAUGCAAGUCAACAAAUAAAACAAUCAUGUCUUUGUGAGAUGCACAUUUUCAGACGAAUCUGAAGAACAAUGAAACCAUAAAAACCUAAUAUGAGAACACCGAGGACUCCAGAUAUCAUCUAUAGAAUCUUUGGUCCACCCUUGCAUGAUGAAAAAAAAUUGAAGGCUUCGUCACCAACUCCCCAGGUUGUUUUGUUCUCCUAUCUCCUAAAUGUAAAUGAAAGACAACCCGUUCUUUUUCCAAUCUUCAGGGGCACAGAACGACUCUAGUAUUAAAUAGUCAGUUUCUAUACAAAAAUAACUCCUUUGCACUUGGCACUGCACAUCUCAAAAUAAAAAGCAUGCAAGGAGGAGAAUAUAAUAGCAGUAAACAAGUUUUAUUAACCAAACUUCAAAGAUGCCACACAAGGCAAAAAAGAAAUCUGUACAAGCCAGAUCCCAAGAAUAAUAAUUCCAAUAUACAAUUCAUGAAAACAAUAACAAAAACCAUGUUCAUGAGGCCUCAGCAGAAGCAACAUGUAAUAACCAUACUCUAUUAUUUGAAACACAUUUCCAAGUUUGGUUAAGAUUCUAAACUAUUCUCUAUCUGUCAAUUAUUAACAUGUAAAACAUAAUAAUAUACACUUAAACUACUACAGUAGUAAAACCAGUAAAACAACAAUACCUGCUAAAAAGAUUUGCUACCUCUUCACAUUCACGAGCAUUGUAGAACCAAAUCCCAUUUACUUCUUGCGAUGCAUUCCGAUAUAACAAAUACGGAACCUGAACUUCAAACUCUAAAUCUCCCAAAAGAUUUUCCACUAAAUUAUCUGCACAUAUACAAGAUAUUGAAGCUUAUCAGUGCAAAAACAUAUACAAAAAGACAUGAAGGUUAGGAGACAUAACUAAAACUUAGCAACAACUGAUAAGCACAACAAGACAUGAAAUAUAACACUAGUUGUAAACAAGAUAGACACACGGUAUCUAAAUAAUUGUACCAACCCCCUCUCCUGAUUGUCAUAAAAUGGCCAAUAUUUAACGCUAGACAACAACAUUGCAAAUACUCUAGCCUCUAUAUUAUUGGCAUAUAAAUAUUUUCGGUUAGGUACAUUAUAUUCUUCGUUCUAAAACCUCAAUUAUUAGCUAGUACUGUGAUAAAAUGAUUCAUCACUGAAAUUAAAACUAGUUCACGUACAAAUAAUCAAAACUGAAAUAGAAACAACGACAAACCAACCUGUAUUACGUCGAUUCAUCACAACAAACUGAAAUCGAGGCUGUGUGUUCCUGAAAAUUGAAAAAAUAAUAAUUUCAUCAACUUCAUAUGUAAUACAAUCUCCAAAACACCGAAUAUCAAAUAAAAAAAUGGAAAGCAUACGAGGGAAAAUAAUCUUAUUUUAUGACCUUUUGACGACGAAGAGAGAUCCUUCAACAUCCUUACGACUCCAUUGGCUGAGAUCGAUGUUGAACUCGUAGAAGGUGACAUGAGCGGCCGUGAUGAGGAUCUCCUCAAUGAAUGGAUCAAUUCGCUGAAGAACCGUCAGGUUUAGGAGUUUUGUGCUCUGCUGGUCCAGAUUAGGCAUCAAUUUUCCGUUCUGCGACAUAUUUCAUAGUCCUUUUGGGCUCUGCCCCCAGCACAAGCCCCAUGGUUUUUCUGUGAGCUCUCUCUUUUGUAAAUAAAGUGUUCGAUGAGAUAGCCGAGAGAGAGUGAAAGAGUUGAACAGCCAAACAAGGUGAGGUGAACAGUUUCGGACCGAGACUCGAGAUUGAUCUUGCUUUAACUUCUUUUUAAACAUUUGGGAAAUAGCAUUUAUUUCUUUCAAUUUCUCUACUUUUUUUUUCCUUUAUGUCAUUUAGACCCCAAAAUUAGAUUUAUUAUAAUCAUAUUUUACCCAUACACUAUUAACCCAUUUUAUUUUUUAAAUUGUCAAAUAUUAAUGUAUUAAAAUAAUGUUAGAAAUCCCAAUUAUUAUCUCAAUGUUUCAAUCAUAACUAAUGUGAUAACUCAUCGGUAACUGCAACAUUAACUUAAUUAUUAAUGUUUAUCAUGAAAUGAUGAGAUUAUUAUUCAAGAAAAACUUAGUAAACAUCAAUGACUAAUAUAAUAUGACAAUUACAGCUGAAUAUUAGUACAAGAAUUAGGAUCCCUAAAGUUAGUGAAUGUAUUAUAAUAUAUGUGUGUUACACCACUUUAUGUCUCUCAAAUUUAAUUAAGUAAUUUUAUAUUCAAUGAAUCAAUGUAAUCUAAAGAGAACUCUUCCAUUUCAAACUGUGUUAGAAGAUAUUUGCAAAGCCUAAAGAUAAUAUACAAGGACCAAGAUAUACACAGAUUGUUUCUUUAUGGAAUUAAAGAGCUUUAUAGAUGUUAAAACUGUUUCAAACAAUUUUUCUUGUUUGGUUUAACUAAGGAAGAGCUUGUGGAAGAUUAAAAAUGAUGUUUCCUAUUCUCUGUAGGAAGCUUUUAGGAGAUAUUUUGGGCUUUUUUGAAAGGUUGAAUUGUCAAAAAUACCUUCAUGUUAUUGUUUGCUAAAAGAUGUUAUGGACAACUAAACAACCAACGACAUUUUGUUAAAAACUCUACUAGUGUAGGAUCUACUUAAAGAAGUUAUACCAAACAGACUCUUAGACUGAAUAACCCGAUCUUAAGUUUGUAAAAUUGGGCUCAGAAUCUUCACUAACAACCCCGCUUCGGUGAGAAAGCCCAAGCCUGUUACUUUGUAUAACCUUAUUCUGUAUGUUUGAUUGUAGGAACUGGCCAAUCAUACCGACGAGGUGAGUGUGCAGCAUGAGGUGCUUGACGGGAUGUUUACUUUCAAUGAUACAACUAAAGCUAGCCUCAACAUAUAUCAGGUGCCUGCUUGUUUUUGCCUUCUAGAUACUAAUAUUGUUUAGACGUGUAAUCUCUCUCUCCAUUGAACGCUAGCCAAGAGAAAUGUCUGAAUUAUCGAAACAAGAUGAAUUAUUUUUUGUUUAUCGCAGCAGACGAUCUAUGAGCAGAAUUUCUUACAACAAAAGAUGUGUGUCCACCGGCUUGUAUUUAGUCUCGUAAUGCAUUUUAUAUAUAUGCACGCGCACACAGUUUGAGAAGAAUCAGACCAUUAAUUUUCGUUUGAGCCAAUCAACAGAAUGUACAUUUCUUCUAUGAACUUGUAACCGAAACCGCAGUUUUUCAGGUUUGAUGCAUCUGGGAAAAUUUUCAGAUGGAAUAAAACCACCAUGCGCCAAGGUACCAAUGAUGUUUCUUCCAGCUUACGAGCACUUCAAAUAAACUUAGGUCAUAUUUACACAAGGGCGCACAUGAUAUCAAUCUAAUGGCAAUUAUAUCAUCUAAAAUCCAAGACCAAGAGUCUCCCAUUUUCCCGUUCCCUACUCUGUUCAUAUUAUCAUAACUUGAAGUUGCAAGGCAGCCGCAAUCUCCCAGAUCUUUGCUCCUUCCUCAUAGCAGUUAAUCAAACGAUAAACAGAGAUAUCCCAUGUCAACAAGGAGGUAAUCAUAAAAGAACAACAGAAUUGUUGCAAUAUAUUCAUAUGAAAUGUAAAACAAUUUUGAGAAAAAAUAUUGGGAAGAUAUUUUUUUUUUCAUAGAAGUUGCAAUCUUUACGUUAUAUACUAGUUUGACUAGACUAUACAAGGAAGCUAUAUGAAAUUAGAAAAAUAAGCUAUACUAGGAAAGAAUAAAUAUAUGUACAGAAAAUUAGGCUAUAAUCUCUGACUUUCAACAAAUUUAAUAUCAAUUUUCUUCAGGAAGUUGUCUCGCAAGGGGCGCAUCAGUAUUGCAACGUCUGCUGGGUCUUACAUUAUCCACAAAAAUAACUCGUCCAUCUAGUAACUGCAAGUACAUACUGUGAGAUGCUUAAACUCAACAAUAUAAGCAUGGUAAAUUAGAGAAAAAUGAUGCAAUUUUACCUUCCCAUUCAUGUCUGCCAAGGCUUUUUGGGCUUCCUCUUAUGUACUGAAAGUCACAUAUCCGUAACCUUUUGAUCUAUUCUUACCUUAUCCAUUAUUAUUGUAGCUGCAAAAAGAAAAGAAUCGGAUAUUACAAAAUAGUGAAGAGGGAAGAGGGGUUGAGACUUAAAACAGAAAUAGACCAAACCCUCAGUGACGUGGCCAAAUUGUGAAAAAGCAUCAGCUAACAUGCCUUUAGUGGUUGAGAAAGAUGCGCCUGCAAAGGAUGCCAGUUAAUUUUAUCAUAAUUAGAUGGUAAGAUUGCAAAUUCUGCAGCCAAAGGUAGUACGGAACUGAAUGAAGGAAAUCAAAUAUGAAUAUGUUGUCAAUCUCAAAAUAUUAAGAGUAGCAUAAGUAACUUGUGAAACAGUUAUAAGUUCAAGGGAAUUAGAUGAUGGUAUGGUUGAAUUUAUAAAUAUUUGAUAUUUAACAAGUUAGUGUGUACUAUGCAAUUGCAAAAUUUAAGUUCCACAGAAUCGGUUCCUUUAACAUGAUGCAUCACAUAAUAUUUUGUUUGCAAAAUAAAGAAGAAAGAUGACAUAAUAGAAACACUCACAGAGAGAGAAUACCUUUGACGAAAAGCUUAGAAGUGAAUCCUCUGUAAAAUACGAGUUGAGCUGCUGAAUUUUCGAGUUUGAAUGAGAGACUGCGGCAAUUCUGAAAAUGUUUUUUUCUCAUUAGCGCCGCCAUUUUUGUAAUAGAGGGUAAAGAAAUAAGUAACAGAGUAAGAGGUGAGCAGAAACGGCCCAAUUUAGUUAUAUGCCAUGCAUGCGAUCAAAAUUGAAUGGUUAAAUGGCAGCCACUAUGUUACAUCUUGUGUAAGUAACAAACCGCCUACAUGGAUCGUUGGAUUUGGGAAUAUGAAAUCCAAUGGAUAAUAUUGAAUUUAACGAAAAAUAGAUUACAGGUUGCAUUAGUCCAAGAUUAUUUCAAACAAACCAGCUGAUGAAAUAGCCGCUAAUCAAAUUUAAAAGGGAAAAAAAAUCAUAGGUUAUAGAUCUUAUUUCCAUCUUAAAUCUAUGUCUUUCAUGGUAACUCAAUGUGUAUUCUAAUUUAUAAUUUGGAUCUAUAUUAGAGCUAAUGCUUCCCUAAAUAACUAAGAAAAUUUUCUUUUCAUUGAUUAAAUAUCUAUUUCCAAGAUCUUGUAUAUGUAGGAUUUGAAAAGAGGGAGAAUAGUAGGGUUGAUAAUGAGAGAAGAUAGAGAUGUCCAUUCUCAAAUCUAAUAUUAAUGCUAUACUUAUGUUCCUAUACUAAAUAAAUUAUCCAAGGUUCGUGGUUAAUGAUAAGUUGCGAAAUUUUAAUUUCUAUUUAAAGUUUUGUCUAAUAUGGCUUUUCAUAAAGCUUAGAGAAAAGUAGAGCUUUUACAAAAAAACAUUUAAUUAGAAUUGUGAAUGAUAAAUUUUAUUAAAAUUUUUUAAAAAGUACUUUAAUAAAUAAGCUUUUAAAGUUAUAUAUAUUAUGAAAGAAAUGAAAUAAGAUUAUAUAAUAAAUUAAGAGUAUCUUAGAUAAUUGAACUUAAAAAAAAAACUCGCUAAGAGGAUUAAAAUUUGAGUUUUAAUAGUGGAUACAAAAUAGUUUAUUUAAUUCUCAAAAGCUCUACUCAAAAUAGUUUAUUUAAUUCUCAAAAAAUAUUUUUUUCAAUGAGUAAAUAAUACUAAACAUGCACUAAAGUGUUAGGACCAGAAGUUGUCCAAAUAAAAUCAUGAAAUUAUAUGCUGUUGGAUGGAUAUUUUUCAAAUUUGCUGUAGUUUUUUUUUCUUUUCUGCUGGGAAAUUGAAAUGAUGGCUACAACUUAAAUUAUGAAUGGAGUAAUCGGAGAAUAUUGAAACCCAUUUAAUUUGGAUCGUGCAUUGAGGGACGAAAGGAUAAAAAAUUUAAUUUUGAAAUUGCUGUUGGGUACGGUACAAUGACUUACCGUUGACAGCUUGUGCAACCGGAUUACAAUCGGUUAGUUCAAUAAUUUUAUAUCCCUAUUCAACCGCCACGUGCUGCUGUUACAUGGGUCAAUUACUCAUGUCAUUACUGUUACUUACAGCUGCUGUAACAUAACCGGACCCAAAUGGUUAAAUUCUGUUGUUUCCAAUAAUUUUAUGCUGUAUCUUCUUUAAUAAUAAAGAAAACUUGCAUUAAAAUUAAAAUUAGGGUAAUGCCUGAUUUUAUAAAUAGAUUGCAAUGUAAUUUUGAAAAAUAAAUUAAUAAUUUACGAAAUGUUUAUAACAUAAUUUAAUUUUUUUCAAAAAGGAAAAACAACAAAAGUAAAAAAUAGAGAAUGAGGGCUACAAACUUUGCAUCUUAAACGGCCGUUAGAUUAUUUGUAAAUGAAAGCAACGGUCAGAUAUUGGUGGAUUAUGGAAACAUGUAAUCAUAAGGACUACGAGUUUUUUUUUGUUACAUUAAUAUAUUACAAUCAAAAUUCUGUUGGUAUUUAGAACCAGAAUUUCAUUUGACUAUCUUUGAUAAUUCUAAGCUGGUACAGCCUAAAUUCUUAUUCUCAUAUAAUAUCAAAGAGAGAUAUAUAUUCUUCUCCUCUAUUAAUAAAGAGACAUUUUUACUUCUAUCCAAUUUAAAUAGAACAAGAAUUAAGUCAUUUUAAUAGUUAGGACUCAAAACUCAUACACGUUAGUUUGAGAGUGUGGGGUGUGACAAUGGGCCAAGAGACCAUUGACAAAUACAAAAGAGUGGCAGAAAUUAAUUCAAACCGCUACACACGCUAUUGCAACCAAAUUGAGGGCACAUUUUUGUUUAUUUUGUUGAAAAGUAGUCUGUAAAAUUAACUCAAACCGCUACAUACGCUAAUGCAACCCAAUUGAGGGCCCAUUUUUGUUUAUUUCGUUGAAAAGUAGUUUGCGCAAUUAAUUCAAACCGCUACACACACUAUUGCAUCUUUUGAAAAAGAAAAAUGGAAUAAUUUUUCAAAAUUAAUUUAGAGAAUAAGAUUUACUAAUAAUGAUGUUAGAAAUCUUAAUAUUUGAAUCUUAAUAUUAUCUAUAGAAAUCUUAAUAUUUGAAUCUUAAUAUUAUCUAUCACUCAUUUAUUAAAUAAUAAAUUUCAUAGUUUGUAAAAUUACUUAACCACUUGAUAAAUGUUAUAUUUGUUGGGACUAGAUUGGGACUUAAAUAUUAGAAUAUCUAGUAUUACAUAAAAAAAAUUAACAAUUUAUCUUCACACGACUAAUUGUUUUUACAUCACAACUAACCUUAAUUAUUUUAAAAGUUAUAGUAUUAUUAAAUUGCCCUAACUAGUUAUCAAAAGGUGAAAGCAUGUUUUAAAAAGAAAUUACUAAGAAACAUUUGUUUAAACGAAGGUUAAGGUUAUGAUCAAUUAAUUAAGAAGAAACUUACUAUCAAAGGUUAAGAUUAUGAACAAUUUAAGGAAGUUAUUGAGCAGAGAAAGGGACAGAAUGGAUGUUUGAAUUGCCGGUGACAAGAAUGCUUGUGUUGUGAAAAGAAAUCCGAUGGUUUGUAAAUGGGUUGAAUUUUUCGCUCGCUUCAAUGACUUGCUUAUGCCCAAUAUAUUACUUUGCACAGUAGUAUUUGGGAUCCUAACAAUCAACUCUUAAUUUGGUCCCAAUAUAUUACUUUAUGAAUGAUUAGUUAAUAACUAUCAUGUUAAAGCUUCUGUCAAGCAAACACCCAUUGAAUUUUUCGCUCGCUUCAAUGACUUACUUAUGCCCAAUAUAUUACUUUGCACAGUAGUAUUUGGGAUCCUAACAAUCAACUCUUAAUUUGGUCCCAAUUAGUAUAGUAAUCAUCUAUUGAGCGGUAAAAUUUUCUUGCUUUCAAUUUCCACUGUUAUUUUUUUUAAAUAAAAUAAUUUAUUUAAACUAGUCAUAGAAAUAAGAGAGAAAAGGGGUCAUUUCUUGACUCAAAGUCAAUUGUAAUUAUCAAAACUUGAGGGGACAUCGCAUGCCUAAAUUCCACACACCCUAAAACGGUUUGAUUUGCUUUCAGGCGUUCAUGAAUUUCCAUGAAAGAGCCUGCCUUUCGUCUCUUUCGGGACAGUGACUACAAUAAUGGAAAAAAUUAUAAUUCUCGUUAGAUUGUAACCAAAUUAUUAUCCCUAAUUUUUUUAAGUUAAAUAUAAUUAAAUUCAUGCUUAAGUAUUUAGUAAUUAGAGAGAGAUAGAGAGGAUUGAGGGCCAAUGUUUCGCGAUUUGGGGUCAAUUUAAAGUCAACUAACGUGUAAAACACGUGUAUGCAUAGAAAACGCUUAGAUUAUUUGUGUUCCCAAGUGCAAGAAAUUAAGAAAAGAAAAUUUGAUUUCCUUUCAUGAACUUCCAAGAAAGAAAGAAGACCCUUCACCUUGUUCGUGACAACAAAUGAAUGAAUGAUGUUGAUAUGACAAAUACAAGCGCUAUUACAGGGAACAGCAUAAGAUCGAGACUUGAUAAAGGGUUUGUUAAAUUACAUGUUAUUUUCUUUUGACUUGAAUGAUGUUGAAGAAAAAAAUAAAAUAACAUUGUAAUCAGGGUGAUGUGUGGAAUAUAGUGAAAUAAAUAAAUAGAGAAGAGAAAUUCGUUGAUCAAUAUUCAAGAACUCAUCCAAAGUGAUCGUCAAAGUCUAGAGGUUCGGUAUGAUUAGCAUUUAUUUUUAUUUUUUUUUGGCUUAGCAUCAUAUAUAGUCACCUGUCGUGUGAUCUAGGACAUGUUUAGAAAUCCUUUUAUUUUAACUUCCGUAUUCUUAUUAUUUAAUUAGUUAUUGGGUUUUUAAGUAUUUGAGUAUUGAUCACAUGUCUCCUAAUCUAAAAAUAUGUUUUUAAGAGUACAAAUAACAAACUAGGAUUUUAACAGCCUUUUAUACUAAACCCUAAAAAUACAUGAAUUUAUCAAAAUAAGUAAAUUAAUUUAAAUUGGUAUGGCAUAUUAGAAGUUUUACCAGCCGAAACAAAUUAAAAAAAUAUUACACUUAAAUCAAAUAUUGACAAAAAUAGAUAACAAUCUAAUGAGAAUCUUAACUAGACAUUUUUACUUCUAUCCAAUUUAACUGGAUAAAUUGACAAAUAUUGACAAAAAUAGAUAACUCAUACACGCUAGUUUGAGAGUGUGGGGUGUGACAAUGGGUCAAAAGACCAUUGACAGGUAUAAAAGAGUGGUCGCAAUUAAUUCAAACCGCUACACACGCUAUUGCGUCUUUUAAAAAAGAAAAAUGGAAUAGUUUUCCAAAAUUAAUUCAGAGAAGAAGAUUUACUAAUAAUGAUGUUAGAAAUCUUAAUAUUUGAAUCUUAAUAUUAUGUAUCACUCAUUUAUUAAAUAAUAGAUUUCAUAGUUUGUAAAUUUACUUAACCACUUGAUAAAUGUUAUAUUUGUUGGGACUAAAUUGGGACUUAGAUGUUGGAAUAUCAAGUAUUGCAUAAAAAUAAAAAAUAAAAACUUAACAAUUUAUCUUCACAUGACUAAUUGUUUUUACAUCACAACUAACCUUAGUUAUUUUUUAAAGUUAUAGUAUUAUUAAAUUGCCCUAACUGGUUAUCAAAAGAUGAAAGCAUGUUAAAAUAAGAAAUUACUAAGAAACAUGUGCUUAAACAGAGGUUAAGGCUACGAACAAUUAAGAAGAAACAACUUACAAUCAAAGGUUAAGAUUAUGAACAAAUUAAGGAAGGUAUUGAGCAGAUAAAGGGACGAAAUCAUUGUCUGAAUUGCCGGUGACAAGAAUGCUUGUGUUGUGAAAAGAAACCUGAUGGUUUGUAAAUGGGUUGAAUUUUUUAUUCGGUCGCUCCAACUGACUUACUAAUGCCAAAUUUAUUACUUUGCACAGUAGUGUUUAGGAUCCUCAAGAUCAACUCUUAAUUUGGUCCCAAUUAGUGUAGAAAUCAUCUAUUGAGCAAUAGAAUAAGAAUUUUUCUAGUCAUGAAAUUCAAUAUAUAAUAUAUCCUUGACACACAUCGAUUAUAACUUAACUGUUAGAAUUCAUAACAUUACUCUACUCUCAAGGGGAGUUCUCUUAACAUAUUAUGUUAGGUUGCCUACAUUCAAAAUAUGUUAGGCUGCUCUUUGAAAACAAUAUUCCUUUUUCCGUAACUUUGAAUUGAUCCAAUAGCUCUUGAAAAGCACAUAAUAAUCAUUAUAAAUUUAAUCAAAGACUAAGCAAGUCUUCUUUGCAUUUGAUCACUGGCAUUUCAGUUAAGUUUGUCAUUUACUUAAAUUUUUCUUGCUUUCAAUUUCCACUGUUGUUUUUUUUAAUAAAAUAAUUUAUUUAAACUAGUAAUAGAAAUAAGAGAGAAAGGGGUUUUCUUGACUCAAAGUCAAUUAUAAUCAUCAAAACUUGAGCGGACAUUGCAUGCCUAAAUUCCACGCACCCUAAAACGGUUUGAUUUGCUUUCACGCGUUCAUGAUUUUCCAUGAAAGAUAGUGCCUGUCGUCUCUUUCCGGACAGUGACUACAGUCAUGGAAAAAUUAUGUUAAAGUGACGAAUACAAAACGUUAUUACAUGCAAGAAUAAGUUUUUGGAGCCGAGACUUGAGGGAGGUUCUAUCUAAUUCUAAAGAUUGUAACCAAAUCAUUAUCCCCAAUUUUUUUCAGUUAAAUAAAAUAAAAUUUAUGCUUAAGUAUAAAUAAUUUUUUUAAGUUAAAUAUAAAAUAAAAUUCAUGAACUUCCUAGAAAGAAAGAAGACCCUUCACCUUCUUCACGACAACAAAUGAUGUUGAUAUGACAAAUACAAGCGCUAUUACAGGGAACAGCAUGAGACCGAGACUUGAUAAAUAUUAAAUAUAUAAAAUAAGUGGAGCAAACAAACAGAAUAAUAGAUUUUUAUAAUAUUCUUCAUAAAAAUCCAAGUUUUGAGCUGGCCCAUAAGCUUAUCUAGUGAAGUCUGGGUAUCCGCAUUGCCCAAGGUUCCGCUUGAAUCCAGGCUGUGCUGAUAUUUAUGACAUCCCAUAUGGACGGAGAGGAAAUAUAUUCAGUUGACUGAAUUAAAUAAAAAUAUAUUACAAUCAUAUUAUAUAUUAGCAGCAAAAAUAAAAAGAAAUGAAGAAAAACGCUGUGUGGUUCAAAAAGAGUGUGGGUGAGUGAGUUAAUUUUCAUAUUAUUAGUAGUAAAAGGGUGGUGGAGUGAGGGAUGUUUGGAGCAAGAGAGGUCUGCUCUCCUCCAACUCAAACAUUUCUUCGAUGAUGAUCACCGUCUUCAAAACUGGGUAGACGAUGAGAAUUAUUCAGAUUGUUGUCAGUGGGAAGGGGUUGAGUGCAAUAACACCACUGGCAGAGUGAUUGAAUUAUAUCUAGGAGCCACUAGGAAUCGGGAAUCAGCAGAGUGGCAUAUGAAUGCUUCUCUGUUUACUCCCUUUCAACAAUUAGAGUCUCUUGAUUUAAGUUUGAACAAUAUAGCCGGUUGUGUUGAAAAUGAAGGUCCUUAAUUUACUUUAUUUUAAUUCUUCCUAUAAAUUUCUUACAUUUAUCUGAUCCCUUUUGGCUUUUGUUUAAUUUGUACGUGAUACAAUAAAAUUAUUUUUUAUUUUUUGGCAGGUCUAGAUAGGUUAUCAAGGUUGAACAACUUGAAGUUUCUUUUUUUAGACUUUAACUGCUUCAACAACAACAUCUUUUCAUCUCUAGGUGGUCUUUCAUCACUCAGGAUCUUAUCAUUGUUUCUUAAUAGAUUGAAUGGAAGUGUUGACAUUAAAGGUAAAGUAAGCUUCAUCCCUUCUCCCGUGUCCCAUCUUUUGUGGAUCUUAUUUCAUCGACCAGCUGGAAGUAUUGAUACGAGAUCUUGCUAGUGCAAGCUUCAAGGCUUUGAGUGCUACAAAAAUAGGUCUAAGAAAUUAUCAAUACAUAACGUUAUUACAUACAAUAAUAGUUCUAAAGAUUGUAACAAAAUCAUUAUCCCCAAUUUUUUUAAGUUAAAUAAAAUAAAAUUCAUGCUUAAGUAUAAAUAAUACUUUGGACAUUCUUGAUAUUUGUCCUUUUAAGAUAAACAGCAACCCAAUUAUCUAUUUGUUUGUCUGUUUUUUUUUUUUCAAUAACAGUUUGUUAGCAUAAAUAUUUACCUGUGAAGUCGAGGAGGAGAAAAUGUUAGAAAAAAUAAAAAGAAAAAAAAUUAAGGGGGAUAGAAUUAGAUUUUCUUUUUUGAGCAAAGAACAUACGUAAAAAGAUAUUAAAUCUAUUAAGUCUAAUUGUCUAUAACGGUAAAUUGCAUAACGAAUAAUUUAUUAGCGUAAAAUAAAUUUUAUUAGAUUCUGAUUAUUUGUUUGAUUUCUUUUCUCUCUGGACUCAACUUAUUUUGUUUAUUUGAUUUGAUUUUAUUUUUUUUUUAAAGAAACUUAUUGUUUAUCAAUACUGAAUGGCUUAAGAUUGAUGUCUUGAUAAUAGAUGGGGCAAUAUUGCAUUUUUAAUGCAGUAGACUUUGAAGUUAUCAUUGACAAGCUUAGAUGAAUUACUAGGACCAUAAUACAAAUGUCACAGGCAUCGAAGGCACUUACCAAGUUUUGAGUACAUUCCUGUUCCUAUCUAAUAGUUUUUAAUUUCUUUAAUUUAAGACCCCAUUCAUUAAUAUUUUCUUUAUUGUGAAGUUAAUUUUUUUAUCUGAAAUUAAAUUUUUUUUUUAAAUUGUUGACUUAUAGUUUACCUUUGUGUUAAAUGUUGGCAAAAUUAUUUUGUCCAAACCAUUUUUUUUGUCCUGAACGUCCAACUAAAAACUGAAUCAAGGGUUAAGUUGUAAGGUUUCAGUUCGUCCGUUAUAUUAAUUUAUUGUUUUAAUAUUAUGCAGUACAAAUAGGUGUAUAAGUCCAGAGGCGGAUGCAGCACAUGACCAGUGGGGGCUUGAGCCCCCACUGGCCAAAAAAAAAAAUUAAAAAUAAAAGAAUUUUUAAAAUUUUUUAAUUAGCCUCAUUAAAUUUAUUAAAAUAGUCACUAUAAAAUAUAAAUCCCAUAAAAUUUAAACUUUGAUUUUUAAAAAAUAUAAAAAUAUAUAUUUUAAUUAAAAAUAAUGAUAGCCCACUACUCAAAAAUUUUCUAUUCUAAAAAAUAUGGUUAAUUCUUCCAGUUUAUAUAAUAAUAGUAGAACGAACAGUUUCAGUAAUAAAACUCAUGAAGAAUCAUCUUUGGAAUCGGAUGGGAUACGUGAUAGUUUGAUUGUUUAUAUAGGAAAUAAUAAAUUUAAUAAUAUUGAUAAUGAGCCUAUUGCAUAACAUUUUAAAAAUAUAAAAAUGCGUAGAGACUAAUUAUAAAUAUUUUAUAUAUUCAAAAUUUUAAUUUUUUAUAUUUUACUAUUAUCUAAUUUAGCCCCCGGUAAAUUAUUUUUUUAGAUCCGCCACUGUAUAAGUCCAUCAUUUAAAUGCAAAAUGAAACCACAUCAAUAUAGAAAUUAAAAGAAAAUGAAUUCUCACAACCAUACGGUGAGAUUCAAACUCUCUAUCUCCGAGGAUUUCUUAAAGUUAUUCUUAAAUUACACUUAAAUGGUUAAAUUUAAUAAAUAAAGGUUUAAUUCUUUUCUCGCACAUUGUAGAAGCAAAUUUUCUCCUCUGUUGAAAAUUCUAAAUAUUUUUUUAAAUUAGGUUUCAACUAUGACAUGUCAGGACAGAUUUGAUACAUUUCUAAUGCAACCGAUAUAACAACACAACUUUGUGAUUUUUACUAUUCAGGAGAAGAAGAACACAACCUGUAUAACCCAACCGUUUAUAUACAAACAUCGAAUCGCUUUUUAAAAUUAAAUUGGGAAAAUUGGGGAUAUAAUCGUUUUUCAUAUAUAUACAUUUUUUCCUUACAAAUUAAAUUCAUGGUUGUUAGCUAAAUAUACCCGCUUAAAGCCACUCAGUCGAACCCUUUGAGAGCUGCUUUAAAUUUUUCGGAUUAGCCAUAUUCUUUUCACUGAGAUUUAACAUAAAAAAAAGGAGAAAAUAAGUUAUUUAAUUAACUCUAUUUUUAAGUGUUGGCAUAAAUACAGGACUCGAUUCCUUGAGUAACUUGGAGAUGCUGGACAUGAGCGACAAUGCAAUCGACAAUCUAGUGGUUCCUAAAGGUAUACAAAAUGUUCAAAUAUUUAUAAUUUGGAGGACAAUUUAAUUGAUUUGAUAAGGGAAUGCCCAAUGACACUUAUCCAAAAUAAUUUAAUCCGAAAUUGUAUCCCAAAUAGAUUACAGAGGCUUGAGGAAGUUGAAUACCCUUGGCUUAGGGGGAACGGAAACUGCAAUUAUAGAUGGAAGUAAGGUGUUGCAAUCAAUAGGAUCACUACCGUCCCUCAAAACACUUUACCUUUCGUGUACUAAUUUUACGGGAACAGUAGUUAAUCAAGGUAAGUAAAUCUUUUAUGUCGAAAAUAAUUGAAUUAAUAUAUAUAGCUAAAAUUUAUUGUUUUUACUUCUUUCUAAAUAGAAUUGCACAAUUUCACCAACUUGGAAGAAUUGAUAUUGUACAAGUCUGAUCUCCAUGUAAGCCAACUUCUGCAAGCAUCAUUCACUUCGUUAAAGAAUCUGUCAAUGCAUUAUUGUGUACUCAAGGGUGCCCUACAUGGUCAAGGUAAAUUACGGGUAUCCGAAGCUUUUAUGAUAUUAAUUUGAUAAUAAUUCUUUCUUUUCAAGUUAAUUUUUUCCCCUAAAAUAAGAUUUUUUUUCUUUUAAAUUUUAUAUAUUUUCAUUGUCCAAUAGUUCUAGCUUCUCUUAAUUGCAGGAUUCUUGAUUAAGGUUAAUGAAAUUUUAGUUCUAUUAUGUUAAGAAUAUUUCGAUCGCUUAGAAGAGUAAAGAAAAAUUAGUAAAUUAACCAAAACAAAAGGAUCAGAUUAUCCUUAUUCCCUUGCAUUAUGUGAUCAAUAUCAAAAUUAUAACCAUUUCUUGUUUAUUGCUUGUAGAUUUUCGUAAAUUCAAGAAUUUGGAACAUCUGCACAUGGGUGGGGCGCAGGUUGACGUCAACACCAGUUUUCUUCAAAUUGUCGGUGAAUCGAUGCCUUCACUUAAGUUUUUAUCACUGAUAAACUCUAGUAAAAAUAUUUGAACUAAUAAUAUCAGACAGCUGGCCUUUCUUUUCCUUGAGAUACUGAUUCGGAGUACUAAUAAUUUUUUACAAGUAAAGUUCCAUUAAAAUAGCAUAAGCCAUGACAAACACGUAUUGUUUAAUGGGCAUCCGUGAGACAAAGGAAUUGAUUAACCCAAAAGAUCAUAUGUACGGACACAACGUUUUAAUUAUUAACUUGUUUAAGUUUCUAAUCAACCUCUCUAAUCAAUCACAGCAAUUUUUCUUUUCCUCUAUCUCAAUCACUAAUUUCUUAAAGUGUAUACAAUUUUAGGAUGUUUGUAUUCUGAGAAGUUACACCAGCAGCAACCAAUUAUUUCGAAUGGAUCAGACUCAUCACGUAGAAAUAUUUAUUGUGGAUAUGAGGGAUAUUUUAAUAUAAUCUUAUUCCCACUCUCAUAUGACCGUGUAUAUUUAUAUGAAGAUUUAUUUCUUUGUUUUUUCAAUAAUAACGUGUAACAAUUGGAGUUUAAUUGAGUGGUUUUCAACUAAAUUUUAUUUAAUUGGCCACUCAAUUUUAAAUUUCAGGAGAGUUGAAAAUUUAAAAAUUAGAUUAAACUUUACUCAUUCUUUACCUUUCUAAAAGAAGAAAAAAGUACUGAUUUUUAAACAAUUGGCCGUUACAGUCUAUAAAGUUUUGAUUUGCUUUUUUAUAUAAUCGCUUUUAUUAAAAGAAGAAAAAAAUAUCGAUUUUUAAACAAUUGGCCAUUAUGAUAUAUAAACUUUUGAUUGCUUAUAUAUAAUCUCUUUUAUUAUUCCCCUAAAAUAUUGUCGAUAAUAAAAAAAAAAAAAAAAGCAGUCGGCCUAUGUAGCAAUGCAUAUGUGGUAGUAUAUGCAAAAUAAUAAUUUAUAUAAAAUUAACCCACAAAAAAAAUGAUUGAUGUGAAUAUAGAGUAUAAUUUCAUAUUCAUACACUUUUGAUUUUGUUAGGGCAUAUACUAUAUUGAUAUGAGCAUAGGACAUUGUUUACUAAAUAAAAUUAUUAAUAGUUUUAGUCUUCUAGAAUCCCCUGAUAGUGCUCUUAAUCAAAUUAUAAUAUAAGUCAUUGCUUUUUCUUUUUUAUUUUACCAUUUUAUUCUAUUCACCAGAUGCAUUUUUAGUAAUUAUUUUCUAUGUACAUGGUAGUGUUUGAUUUAUUAAUAUUAAAGAAGUUAUCAAUCACUUUUAAGUUUUUAAGUGUUUUUAUUAGGUGUCAAUUUGUAUUGGCAUGUCAAGUAGAUUUUUUAUUUAUGUUUUGUUAAAUUUAUAUAGACAAGAAUCUGGAUUGUUUUGACACUUUUUAAUUGCUUUUUUUUAAAUCACUUGUUAACAUAUUUUAAAAAUAUUUGUACUAUUAGUUACUCAAAUUCUAAUCGAUUUCGGUCUAAAUUAGGAAAUAAUUUUAAAAUAUAUAAAACAUAAUAUAGAUUUAUAGAAUAAUCUGAGAAUAAAGAAGUCGAAAAUUGUCAUUUAUACAAUUAAACUACUCUUUUAUUAUUCACCAUUUUUAUAAAUAUUAUCAAACUAAAAGAUCUCAUUUAAUAGUCAUAUGGUCUUGUCUGAGCGAGAUUCGAUUCCUAAAUAAUAAUAAUAAUAAUAACAAUAUUUUAAGCAAUGUCUUUUUAACAGCAGUUCAAUCAUCUAAAUACAUCACUAACGAAGAAUAUAAUACAUAUUAUAUACAUAUUUAGAUCACACAAAACACGUUAUCAUCUAAAUCUCACUUUUUCUCCAAUAUGUAAUAAAUUCAUGGAAAAUUUUUGAGUGUUCAUAGUGUAUGCUCCCACUCUAACGCAACUCUCUCUCUCUCUCUCUCUUCUUUUUCACCUGAAAGCUUGUCUAAUUUGGUUACAUUCAUGCAUGCUUACAUAAUUAGGCUCUAAUGGAUCAUAGUGUUGCAAAUUAUUAUUUUAAUGAUACGAUCGAUAUAAGCCGUGACUUUAUUUAAGAAAAAUGCUUGUUUGAGUGCUAAGGAAAGAUAGCAGUUAAUGGUGGGCUGAGAAUAUUAAUAAACAGAAAUCAGCAACAAGAAAAGAGAAAAGAAUCACGUCUGCUGACCCAAAAAAGGGAAAUAAAAUGAUAAAAUCACUGUGCGCAACAAUGAUUGACACAAGAACUUUACUCUUCCAAGCAUUGGUCCUUUUCAUGUCUUUGCCUGCCAAUUUUAGCAAAAUGUUUAAAAGGAAAGAAGUGUUUGUGAAGAGAUUCUCUCUUUAUUAUUCUCCUCUGUGACACUGACACACAACACAAGUGAGCAAAUUAAAACCGAGAAUGUUUCUUUUCGCAGUGCUUAAAGCAAAUUAAAAGCGUGGUGACAUCUGCUCCUCAGCCUCUGUGCUGAAAGAGUUUAAAAAAUAAAGCUGAUCAAAGUGUGUAUGUGUGAGUGUAGGUGGAGUGCAUGGGAUCAGCAUAUAUGUGAUUUUGUGUUCAUCUGCAGUAUAGAAUGUGAUUCUUUUUUCCUAUCACUUUCUUCUAUGCAAGGAUCGUAAAAUGCUGUUCGGUAUGAUCAGCUGCUGGUACUUUUGAGCUUGCAGCAGCUUCCAAUGAUUUUAUUUCCAUCAAAUGACAGCAUAAUUUGCAUCAGCAAAUCCGAGAUGACAUGCCAGUUUUUGGGCUGUUCCAUUUCUAGAUAUAACAUCCAAACUUGAAUAUGUAUCUCAUUUGAACAUGUGUGAUACUGGAAUGGACACACGAGGAGUUGGAAUUUAAAUGAGGUAUCAUAUGCUUUUCUUGAAAGAAAUAACCAAUUCAGUAACGGCCUAGACAACUCUAGCCACUUCAAAUUGUCGGUUAAUUAAUGAUUCUCUUUCUCCCUCUCUCUCGCAUCUUAACUAAAUUUAAUUGAGAAUAUCUACAAUGCUAGCUAUUUAUAAACUUAAUGAAAGAUGAUAAGGAGCCAUUAUAAUGACAAACACAACUGUAAAAUAGUGCGUUGUUGUAGUGUUGAUUGAAAAAUAAUGCUAAUGUUUUACCUAACAACACUAUAACGCCGUAUAAUUUUUAAUAUGUACUUUAAACUAUCAGUACUCAAACUUAAUUUUUAAUAUGUACUUUAAAGAUUUUAUGCAAUUAUUUAAGUUUUAUGCAAUUAUAUUUUUCAGGACUUUGUCGGUUAGUGCAUCUGCAAGAGUUAUACAUCAGCAGUAAUGAUUUGAGAGGUAGCUUGCCAUGGUGCUUGGUAAACAUGACAUCCCUCCAAGUGUUAGAUGCCUCUUCCAAUCAACUUAUUGGAAACAUCUCCCCAGGCCUUUGUGAGUUGGUGCUUCUGAGAGAGUUAUACAUUCAUAACAAUGAUUUAAGAGGUAGCUUGCCUUUGUGCUUGGCAAAUUUGACUUCCCUUCGAGUAUUAGAUGUCUCUUACAAUCAACUUACUGAAAACAUCUCCUCAUCUCCCAUCAUGCAUCUAAUAUCUAUUGAAAAGCUCAUACUUUCAAAUAAUCACUUCUUCCAAAUCCCUAUUUCACUUGAACCACUUUUCAAUCUCUCAAAACUCAAGACUUUCGAUGGUGAAAUAUGCGCAGAAACUGAGUCACAUUAUAAUUCUUUGACCCCAAAAUUCCAACUGACUUCUAUCUCACUGUCUGGUUACAUAGAUGGUGGCACAUUUCCCAAAUUCUUGUUCCAUCAACAUGACUUGAAGAAUGCUGAUCUCUCACACCUUAACUUGAGUGGACAAUUUCCAAAUUGGUUGCUAGAAAACAAUACAAACUUGGAGACGCUUCUUCUUGCCAAUAACUCUCUUUUUGGAUCAUUUCGAAUGCCAAUUCAUUCCCACCAGAAUUUAGCAAUAUUGGAUGUCUCCAACAAUUUCUUUCAAGGCCAUAUCCCGGUAGAAAUCGGAACAUAUCUGCCAGUCUUAAUGGGUUUAAACUUAUCUAGAAAUGCUUUCAACGGUAGCAUUCCCUCUUCAUUUGCUGAUAUGAAAAUGUUGGGAAGGUUGGACAUAUCGCACAAUCAGUUGACUGGUGAAAUCCCAGAGCGCAUGGCCACGGGUUGCUUCUCAUUAGAAAUUCUUGCAUUGUCAAACAACAGUUUGCAAGGUCAUAUAUUCUCUAAAAAAUUUAGCUUGACAAAUUUGAUGACGUUGCAGUUGGAUGGUAAUAAAUUCGCUGGAGAGAUCCCAGAAAGCUUAUCUAAGUGCUAUUUGUUAGAAGGAUUAUAUCUGAGUGAUAAUCAUCUCACUGGUGAGAUUCCAAGAUGGUUGGGUAAUUUGUCAGCUUUGGAAGAUAUUAUAAUGCCCAAUAACAAUCUUGGAGGGCCAAUUCCAAUCGAGUUUUGUCAGCUUGAUUCUCUGAAGAUUUUAGACCUUUCAAACAAUAGUAUUUUCGGAACCUUACCAUCUUGUCUUAGUCCAGGAUCUAUUGAACAACUUCAUUUGUCAAAAAACAAGAUAGAAGGACGAUUGGAAAGUAUAAUCCAUGACAGCCCUUAUUUGGUGACAUUAGAUCUUAGUUAUAACAGCUUACACGGAAGUAUUCCAAAUCGGAUUGACAGACUACCUAAGUUAAACUACCUUCUUUUGGCUAAUAAUUAUAUUGAAGGCGAAAUACCAGUUCAAUUAUGCCAUUUGAAGGAAGUGCGGUUGAUUGAUCUUUCUCAUAAUAAUCUAUCUGGUCAUAUUCCUCCUUGCUUGGUUAACACUUCACUCAGUGAAGGUCAUCAUGAGGCAGUAGCUCCAACUCCAAGUGGAUCUCCGAUGGGAAAGGAAGAAACUGUUCAGUUCACAACAAAGAAUAUGUCCUACUAUUAUCAAGGAAGAAUUUUGACGAGUAUGUCUGGGAUUGAUCUUUCUUGUAACAAACUGACAGGUGAGAUUCCUACUCAAAUUGGAUAUCUUACUAGGAUUCAUGCACUAAAUCUAUCUCAUAACAAUUUGACGGGCACAAUCCCGACAACAUUUUCAAACCUGAAGCAAAUCGAAAGCUUGGACCUCUCCUACAACCUACUGCAUGGGAAAAUCCCUUCUCAGCUCACUGUGCUAAAUACAUUGGCGGUCUUCACGGUAGCAUACAAUAACUUAUCAGGAAAAAUUCCAGAUAGAGUUGCACAAUUUUCAACUUUUGAGGAAGAUAGCUAUGCGGGGAAUCCUUUUCUUUGUGGAUGGCCACUGUCUAAAAGUUGCAAUGAUAGUGGAUUAUCAGCAGUGACACGAGAAGCUUACACUGAUAAUGAAGAAGGUGAUAGUUUAAUUGACAUGGACAGUUUCCUAAUCACUUUUACAGUAUCUUAUGGAAUUGUGAUAUUAGGAAUUAUUGGAGUUUUAUACAUAAACCCCUAUUGGCGACGAAGAUGGUUUUACCUUGUUGAAGUAUGUAUGAUCUCUUGCUACUAUUUUGUAGUAGAUAAUCUUAUUCCUAGAAGAUUCUAUGGUGGAUGGAUGUAAUUUCAUUUACUUUACAACUUAUAUGUAAUUUUUAAAGAAUUUUCUUUUGCAUGCAUGGAAUAGCAACUCAAUAAAAGUAUUUGAUGCAAAUUGUCCAAGAACAACUUAGUAAUUUCAUUGCUACUAUUCGGUUGUAUAUAUACAGUUAAUGAAAUUUUUAAUCAUUCGCAGUAGGAAUUUCUUUAAAUGGCGGCCAAAACUAACAGAUUUGGGGCUCUACCUCUACACAUCAUAACAGGCAAAAGGUCUCUCUUUUACACUAUCUGAAUGAAGAUUAGCUUACGCCCCCUGGAGUUCUCUAUUAAACUUGACGGUUGAGAUUUCAGGUCCAGAUGAAAGUGAAAUGCAGGCGACGAGACUACACUUUAAGUAAACUGGGACAAACUUAAAAUAAAAAAAAUUGUAGUCCAGGGUGAGAGUGAUGGGUAGCUCAACUUAUGGAGGAUAAUUAGGACUUGGAAUAACUAUCAGAUUUGCAACUCUUGUUAUAUGCUAGUGGGGAUUUAGGUAGCAAUUUUUUUUUUUUUCCUUUUUGCCCUCUUCCUCACAAUAAACACACCUAACACACCAAGCCGUGCCCAAAAUAAUCCUAUUUUAUUCAUGUCAUGAAUCCAAAAACUAUCCCAGCUCACUUUGUUUAACCAGCAUAACUAAAUUGUGGGUAUAAAUGAACACACUUUCGAAGCCUGUAACUUAUAAUAAGCUCAAACCCAAAAAUGACAUUUAAAUCCUGCAAGUGUUUUUCAUCAUCCCUAACAAAAAGAAACAAGAAUAAUUAUAUACCAAUAGUUUUUCCAUAAAAAAUACUGAUACCAAUAGUUUUUCCAUAAAAAAUACUGAUUUGAGUUGAAACACUCUACAAACUGGAUUUUAUACACUUGCAGAAAGCUACGCGAUAGACAAAAUCUAGCAGCUACAUAAUGGUAUCACUUUCAGCUGGUCAUGAAUGGUGUGCAUUCAGCAGUGCUCGAUAGACCAUGUCUAUGAAUUGAUUGUCCUAUUACAUAUAAAAGCUGGUCAGAUAUACAAGGAAAAAAAUAAUAAUUGAAAAUGCAUCACAAAAAAUAAGUGUCUCGCAUUAGUGUUUGCACUCUAAGCAUGGCAAAGUGGUGCGGGUUCAUGAUUUUGAAGACUGGGAUAAGUGAAAAAUAGUUCAAUCCACUGAUGAACAUAAAUUUAUUUACAUGUCAAUUUAGAUAUCAUAAAAAAGUAAACUGUAAUUCACAGUCACUUAAAAGAGUUGAUAAAAUGCAUGCCAUGAAUGCAUUUUUGUACAUAAGAAAUCCAAAGAGUAUUUCUGACAAUACAAAUAUGCUAGCUUUAAAUCUGCUGUCAAUAUGCAAUUAAGAAGAUUAUAUCAGCUGCAUGAUAAAGUUCCCCUAAUCUUAAUAACAGUAAACAUGAACAUGUCAGAUGCAAUUAUAGCUUCGAGCAUUUGCAUAACCAGAAAUCCUAACCUGAACAAGCACCAGAAGUGUCUCUCGGACUUUCUCCUUGUUGAUAAAUGGUCCGCUGUUUGAAGUAAGAGCAGGAGUAAGAGAUGGUGGAGGGGUUGGUAGUGGAAAAGGUUGAAGCAUUGGGGCACCAUAUGGGCGUUGCAGACUCAGGGGAGGAUUAAGUGGCGGAGCUGUUGGUGUAGAUGAAGAGACAAGCUGCAUCAUCUGUGCAUAGGAGGAUGGAGGAGGAACAAAGAAUAAGGAAGGCUUUACAAGAUUAGGGGUAGGUGCUGACAGAGGUGGAGAUGGUAUUUGCAAGGUUGGCACGAUAAGAGAAGCAACACUGGCGGGAUGAGAAGGUAAAGAAAUAGUUGUAUUGGACUGGUAAGGUUGUGCAGAGAUUGCUGCAUUAGAAGUAUUCCCCACAGUCAAAGCUGU
RNAcentral lists this long non-coding RNA (47988 nucleotides) under Citrus maxima (pomelo). RNAcentral describes it as "long non-coding RNA (CMAX_LNC003445)". Lineage: Eukaryota; Viridiplantae; Streptophyta; Magnoliopsida; Sapindales; Rutaceae. The record is from RNAcentral.